This 57383-nucleotide long non-coding RNA is filed under the name Fragaria vesca (wild strawberry). RNAcentral's name for it is "long non-coding RNA (FVES_LNC005541)". The record is from RNAcentral. Lineage: Eukaryota; Viridiplantae; Streptophyta; Magnoliopsida; Rosales; Rosaceae.
UUUUUAUUUGCUAAAGUACUGAUGCAGAACAAAAGACGAAACCUCUGUGGUUUCUUACAUCCAACAACACUAAAUUAUGAUUAUGUGGAUACAGAAGCUUUUUUCAGCACUGCCCAGCCGCUAAAUAGCUGGCUAUUGCACUUUGCACAAGUACCAAUUCCUAACCAACUUUGCUUCCAAAACUAGAAAUUGAGUAAACCAAUUCACAUGAAGCAUAUCUUCCAACUUGUCUUCUUUCGCAUUGGCAUUGUUGAUAGUGCAUAAAUUAAGCAACCAAACAUGAACUUAAAUACAAACAACUAAAUAUGAGCUGAAAACUAAGACCUUACAAGUUUCAAAUGAACCAAAAUUUGCAUCUUCAACAAUUAAAGCAAGCAACUUUUGACAAGGCCGGGGUAUCAUCCACAUCCAAAAUUUAAAACAUGGGCAUCACUUUUUUAACACCACGAACAGUAAAUACAGAUUGAUCAUAGUAAAUUGAAGCUUGGAAUUACCAGAGAAGAGAGAGGUGCAGACCAGAACAGCCUAAUUGUUAGUGUGCAUAGUGGUCUCUGAAGAAGAAGAAGAAGACCCAAAUGUGUUGACUUUGACCAAACGCAGCCAUAACUGCUAACCCAUUUGAACAAACUGCACAUGUUGAAGAAGCCAACUAGUUAACAACUUUGGGUGCACAAUUUGAUAGAUGAGUGAGAAAAGCAAGAAGCUUUGGAUCAAUUUGAUAUGGAAUAAGGGAACCCCAAUUUGAGAGUUGGUAAUUACCUUGACUAAUCUCAUCCCCAACUUCCUUCAUCCUGUCGGGUCGAACCUAAAGGAUCAAACUGACCUCAGAUAUUCAACACCCCUCAUUUCAAUCUUGGACCCAGAAACCCAGAAACCCUGCCUCGUUUUAAGAAAGUAGUAACAAAUGAAAUUACUAAAAGGCCCUAAAACAGUGAGAGGAGAAGUUCAUUACGUCGGGCUCCAACGGUCGAAUUCUCUAAACUUAUCCCUUAAUUAAACUCUGUCUUGACUCCGUUGACAAUUUGGCUUCCCGGGCGACAGUUGUCAGAAACCGCGUGAAAGCAACGGUAAUAUUUCCGAGUCUAUCUGUCUAUAAAACACACUCAUAAUCUCCCACUUCACUCACUCACAAUUCUCAAUUGCAUCUUCUCUCUGCUUCAAUUCUCUCUGUUUCAGAUCUGUAAACCCAGAAUCCCCAAAUUCCCGAAACCCUAAUUUAAACCCAGAAGGAAGGAAAUUCAGGGAUGAUGGAUCGUUGCACUCGGGUGGUGGGUCUCAGAUUCCAUCCGUCCGAUCAAGAGUUGAUCGGACACUUUCUUUUCAUCAAGAACAACCCCAAUUCGGUGCCGGAGAUGAGAUCCUCGUUUUUGCGGGAGUUUGAUAUGUACGGUGAGGUAGAGCCGUGGACGAUUUGGGAAGCCAAUGGGGGACCGCUUCUCGAUGACCAGGAUCUCUUCUUCUUCACUCGCCUUAAGAAGCACAAGAACCGAAUCAAUCGAAGAAUUGGAUCCGGUACUUGGAGCCAAGGCGAGAACUACAAACCAGUUUAUGCCAAAAACAACCAAGAAACCCCAAUUGGGAAAAAGACCAAACUGAGGUAUGAGAACAAAGAGGUGCCGGAGCAAAGCGGUUGUUGGUUCAUGGAUGAGUACAGCGCUGUUGAUGAUGGUGAUUAUGUGAUUUGCCGACUCCGAGAGAACCCUAGCAAGAGACCAUCACCACCAUCAUCAAAGCCUAGUGAUAAAAAGAGGAAGUGUCAACAUGAUCCAGAGCCUAGCAAAAAGCCCAAGUCGACAACCAAUGAGGCUAGAAAGACCGUGUCUUUGAAUCAGAGGCCUAAUCCUGAGACGCAAUUCGACACUAUGGAAAUGUUCCAUCAUGAUCAGGAAUAUGAGACUCAACAAUAUUUGUUGUUAGAGGGUACUGGAUUGGAGGAAGUACAAAGGGAUGUAUUAGCCCCUGCCGUUUCAGAACAACAACACACAUGUUCAUCAUCAUUCGCGCUGCUCAAUACUACCAACGACGUGUUUGGGUCUGAAAAUGACAGUGGAAAUGCGCAGUUAGAGGAUACUGAUUGGCUUGGUGAUGCAUUGGAGGAUGUAGAAGGGGAUUCAUUAUUUCCUGCCCUCUCAGAACAACAAACAUCAUUCAUGUCACAGAUGCAGGACAUUCCUUCUCAAGAAAACAUCAUUGAGUCUCAUAUUCAGUCACCACAUUUGCCUCCCAUCGGAUCAGAAUCGCAACAACCAGCAGAUCAAACUGGGUUGGUUAUUAGCGAUCCACAAGUCAGUACCAAUGAAGAAUUCAGUUUUGCUUAUGAUAAUUUCAGUGUUCCAAUGGAUCCAGCCUACAAUAUUAACUCUGAUGAAUUCAGCAACUACAACUUUGGCGAUGAGUUCUUGUCGGGAGGGGAUGACAUUGGUACAGCAGAUAUACUACAAGGAUCAAUAUCAUUUUCAGAGCUUCUUGAAGAUCAGAAUCAUGAAGUAUAGCUGCCUAGCUAGAUAGAGCUCCUUAGUUAAAUUUGUUCGAUCACAGAAUAGGAUAUUUUUUGAUAUCACUGUAAAUGAUGACAAUAGUCGGUUGUUUGAUUAUGUACCUUUUAAUGUCAUAUACUUCUGAUGGCAAUUGUAACAGCUGCAGCAGCAUACUAAAUCAAUAAAGCUCAGAUCUGUUUUCUUAAUAUUUUGGUGUUACUAUAUAUAUUUUUGUAAGACAUUUCAUUUAAUUUUAAGCCUACUGUAUGCAUAAGAGACAACCUGAAUUUCAACUUUUGGCUUCAAGUCCAACAUCUCUCCCUACUGAUAUCAAGAUCAUUGCUAAUACACUACAAUAUUCUAUUGUAAAUUCAUACAUGCUCAGUCUAGCUUUUUUGUUAACAACCUGCACAGAUGGAUUCUAAAACACACCAUCACAAUUUCUAACUCAAAAUUCAACUUAUCUUCAGUACAAGGAAUAAAUGCAGUCAGAUCAAAGCUAGUUAAGGACUAGAAAAUCUAACAGAUCUUUCAGACAAAAAUUCAUUUGAGAACUAAGACAUAAUGCAAUCAGAUCAACGGUACUUAUUCACCAGACAAUCUAACAGGGGUAUGACAAGAACAUAUAUUCAAGAAGUUGUAUUUCAAGCAAAGCAUCAACUUGAUCAACCCAUUUGAUGUCUCUGUAAUGAGCGAAAUAGCGAAGACUAGUCUCAGGCACUUAGGCAUUCAAGAAACCUUUGAGCAAGAGUAUCAAUCACAUAGUUCGUUAACCUUUUCUGAGUAACCAGCCCUCCAUUGGAGAUAUUCAAAAAGUUGCAUACUUCCAUUUGGUCUUGCUUCAGUAAUUUCCCAGCUAGUUUCUUAAGUGACAUGUCUGUCUUUAUACUGUACUUGUGAUGAACAUCAGGGAAUUCAUUCCUCUUGAAAAUUAUUUUCUUCAUAACCUAAUCAUCAUGUCUAGCAUACUCUUAUCAGUGUACUUACCUUCAAGAUAAAAACGUACGUCGUCAUCAUCCUGCAAAUUGAUCUUGCUUGUUCCUAGGUUUUACACAGGUUGAAUCAUCUCCAACUAGCUAUAAUUUGGACAUAUAGACUGUAAAUUUAUCGACAGAAAUUGUAAUCAGAAAAAAAAAAUCAAAAUAUUUUACAAAAUUUGAAAUAUAUUGUUUUGAUGUUUAAACUUUAAACCAAUGCUGGCUGCAAGAUGGUAAGUUGGCCUAGGGCUCAAUCCCAAGUGAUCACUUUGGGAAAUGGACUAGCCAUCUCCAUCCUAAGGUUCUGCGACCAUGAGUUUCACCAUAUAAGGGUUAGAAUGAACCUAGGCGGAGGUUGUAGACUGUAGAGCAUACUCAGUCGCCUUUUCUAGGGCUGGCCUCCCUUGCCGGAACUAAAACACUCAUGCUCAUAAUUGCAAUGACCCUGCUAGUUUUGCAAUGCAGAAAGGCAUCUAUUACUCCAGUUUCCUAGUCUUGUUAUCAUAGUGCAAUCCAUAGUGUGAACUCUCUAAAUAACAGAGCAAGCUGACUAUAAAUGGUAUAUAUAUAUAUACAGCCCUUCUUGGCUGCGGACGUCCGCACCGAAGGUUUCGGUGCGGAUUUCCAUUUUUGCACCACUUUCCGAUCGAAUUUCAUCAUCUCCACCGUCUAGUAUCUAGAUAAUAUUGUGUAGAUCAUCUCUGCAAAAUUUUAGCCAAUUUGGUGAUCGUUAAGGCCCUCAAACUCGAGUUAUUCUGGUAUGAACACAACCGGAUAGAAUUUAGUCCGUUCAUUUGUUUUUCGAGUUUGAGGGCCUUAACGAUUAGCAAAUUAGCUAAAAUUUUGCAGAGAUGAUCUACACAAUAUUAUCUAGAUACUAGACGGUAGAGAUGAGAAAAUUCAAUCGAAAAGUGGUGCAAAAAUGGAAAUCCGCACCAAAACUUUGGUGCAGAAGUCCGCACUUGAGAAUUCCUGUAUAUAUAUAUAUAUAAACGAAAACGAUAGAAAGCGCACGUGCGCACAGUUCUUAAAGUUCGCACGGAGCUCCAUUCGCCACCGUCCGGCGCCAACGAUGGCGCGCCUCCCCCCCCAAAAGACUCCAGCAGCGUCCUCAACCACUUUUCCUCCCCGGUGAGUCCAUUCUUUUCCAGUUUUCCAGCGAGAUCACCCAAAACUUCAAAUAAAGUCGAUUUCGCCGGAAACUGGAAUUCGGUGGACUCACUACCACAAAAACAGCUUUAAACAACGCCUAUCAGACGACGUAUAACAAUAAACCGUCGUGUGAUUGAUUUUUAACUUUUUAGAUGUCAGUUUUCUAAAACAUCAGGUCACUCAAAUUGUGAGGUGCCCAACAUGUAAGAGUGAUACGACGCUUUGUUACAAAACUGUGGUAUGACUAUAUGUAUUUUCAGCGAAACCAUGUCCGUCAAUAUUUCCCUCCAACAUUCCUUAAAAUUCACACCUAAAUUUGUAGGGAAUGUCCAAAAUAAAAGUUUUGGAGAUCAGACCAUGUUUAUUGUUGUUUACAUUGUGUGAUUUCCUGUCAAAGUGAAUAUCAAUUGAUAGCGCUCAACUUUCCUCUUACAUUUGAACCCAAAGUUAAAUUCUCCCCCAAUACUACUAGAAAAAAAAAGAAAGCACAAAACCUAAAUCCUCGACAUCACACUCACAAAACCUCACAGCUCUCGACAGCUCUCGACCAAAAACACAAAACCUCACAAAACAUCUCGCCCACCCUCAUCUACCUCGACAUCUCUCCCAAAUUCACACACUCAACCCAAAACCUAGCAUCUCUCCUCUCUCAGCCUUCUCGGAGACGGCGACGAAGCUCUCGGCGAGCCCUAGCCUCUAUUUUGAUUUGUCUCUUUAGAGGUACGCCCUAGCUAGCUCUAACACCUCUCUCUCUCUCUCUCUCAUAAAUCGAUUUCAAUUUCGGCUCUAACCUCUCUCUCUCUCUCUUUCUCUCUCUCUCUCUCUCAUAAAUCGAUUUCGAUUUCGAUGAUUGAAGGUUUCAAUUUUGAUGCAGGUGACUACAAUAUGACUUGGAGCUUUGAUUUUCUGAAGAUAUUUCUCUCAAGGUAAUUGUUGGAAUCAGAAUUGCGGGGUUUUGAGUUAUGGGUAUUCGAUCUGUUGCUGGGUUUUGUGUUAUUGCUUUGACUGUGUUGCAUGUUGUUCUUUUCUGGAUUUUGGGUUACUGCUUUGGCGGUGUUGCUUUUAUUAAUGACUGUUUUGGAUUUGAACAAUGUUGAUGGUAGAUAUAUGUGUUGGGUAGCUUUGAGCUUUGUUUCAUUCAUAUCAAUUUCUGGUUUCAUUCCGGUUGGAAUUCCAUUGUGGGGGUAUCAUUUGAGUGGGUAAGUAUUAAAUAGGUUGAUGCAGGUCCGUUAUACUGUUCUAGUAUAUAUGUUCUCAUGUUCAAUGAGCUUUUGAUGGUUUUGUUAACCAAAUUUAAUUGUGUUGUUAGCAGUGAUGAUAUUGAGUGUAAAUUGGUGGUUUCUUUUAUUUUCUCUUACCCUAUGAUUCGUGACUGUAGAAAAGUAAGUUACCAUGUUGCUAGUUGAUGGAUAAAGGCUUUGGAAAGUAAUUGGUUUCUUGCCGCUUGCAGAUGUAAGAAAGUUAAGCUGGGCAUGUUGCUAGUUGAUGGAUAAAGGCUUUGGAAAGUAAUUGGUUUCUUGCAGCUUGCAGAUGUAAGAAAGUUAAGCUGGGCUCUUUCGUAAGAUAUGUUAUUUCUUUUAUUGGUUAGCUGUGAAAGUAGGAUUUGAGGAUCUGUGGUAUUGUCAAUUCAUUUUGUAUGUGUGUAUAGUCAUACCAAAGUUUAUUUGUUCAUGCAUUUGUAUAUGCAAGCAUGUCUAUUGAAUUGUUCAAAACUUGGGAGCUAUGCAACAAUCUCUGGAAUGCAGAUACAAUCAAGUUGUCCCAUAGAGAUUUUAUUUUCUCUAUGUGUAAGAGAGAUUUAGUUGAGUCAUGCAAACAUGAAAGUGUCACAUAAAAUGCUCGAGCUAUUGUACCUACUGUGCACCCAUUCAGCAGCUUUCUCCAAAGAUAAGUCACUCUCUUUGUUGUCUGUUAUUCUGAAAAUUCAAAGCAUGCUAAACACAGGUAUAAUAUUUCUCAGCUUGGAUUCUUAUAAGCAUGCUUACAAAAGUAUAUGAAAGGCCAUGCUUCAGUGUUGAUAAACAUAGUUGCUAGACAGUGCAUGCUUCUUUGAUGUAUAGUUUGCUGAAUAUAAUCGUACCACCAGCUUUGAUUUAGUACUACCCCUUUGAUGCUAAUAUGCAUAGCCACGAGUUUAGGCAAAAAUACAAAAGGGGAACCUUGCGUCAAACAUGGUUAGUCGUGUUCCCAGACAUGUUCCACUAGCAUUCCAUAUACACAACUCUACAAGCAUGAAUGCAUGAUCAUUGCCUCUUAAACAUAUAUGCUUGUUCAUGGUGGGAUAGUCACGGGGUGCAUCCCCUUUUGUUCAAAAGACGAGUAUAGGCUCUUGUGCAUACUUGUGGGUUGAUAUAUGUGAAACCACGUAUUCAGGUAUGUAAUAUUUCUCCAGUAAUUGAACUAGAAUGAAGUUGCUGUUAGAGACUUAGAGUAGCUCAUGUAACAGUAUGCUUACAAUUUGUAUUGAACUAUAUUGCCUUGUUCCAAGUAGCUUUCAUAUCCUAUUCUUGUUCUCAGUAGUCUGUAAUGUUAUACCCUAUCAUUGAAUCUGUGCCUAAAUAGCAUAGUUGAUCCAAUGCUUUUGUAUGUCUUAGGAACUUGUCCACUUCCCAGAUAUUGGAGUGUUGAGCAACUUUUGGAAUAAGUCGUAAGUAUCCAUAUCUUCAUCCCAUCACUUAUUCAUACAAUUUGUAUUGAACACAUUCUAUAGGUUUCCAGUUAUGUAUGUUAGUCUUUAGCUUUCUAGAAUUAGACAAUAGGCAUAUACAUCAUCCAUGUAAGCUAGUUGUGGGGAAUUCAGGAUUGAUAACUUGUCCAUGCCAUUUAAAUUUAUUUUUCUCAAAUAAUUUUCAUAUAAGCAGGUAAUAUUCUCUAUAAAUAGAUGUUUUGUGCCUUCAGUUCAGCAAGUGAUAUUGUUUUUAUACUUGCUGUUUAUUUGUUUGUUUUAGUUAUAUCCAAGUCCAUAUGAAUUGAGUAAUUCUUUUGAAGUUGGUGAAUGAAGCAAUUUUAAUUCAAAAUUUUUUGUAGUAUUGGACAUGAUGGUAGCUGAAUGUUAUAUAUUGAUCUAUACUUUCCUAUAUCAUUGUGAGUUCUAUACUAUUCUUAGUUCAUUGUUUUCAUGCUCCUACAUCAGUUGUCAAAUUGCAUAUAUAUGCAUUGUAAUUACUACACUCUUUAAAUACAUGUUUCAAAUUUGACAGGGUUUUGGGAUGAAAGUCAGUAAUUACAUAUUGGUGAAUUAAGGAGGCUACUAGCAUGCAGGUGCUCCUCAACAAGAUUAACUAGCUGAAGAGAAAACACCAGGACUAUCAGUAGUUGCGAGGCCGUUUUCAGUGACUAUCCAAAAAAGAUCGAAAAGAGUAUAGUUGCAAGAACACCGGAAGCCUUCACUCAUGAACUUAUAUUUAUGAGGAGACUAGUUAGAUAAAAUAGAUGAAGCUUUGAAUGGAAGGAACAAAUGCUCUCCGAUUUCAUGUAUAAACAUUUGAGAAAUGUAAUAGGUCAUCAACUUAUUGAAUUAAUUUUUUGUAUAGUGGAAUUGAAAUAAAUAUGCAGUGAAUUUGAAAUUAUUUUUUUCCAAAUACAAAACUGGAUUUUAGCAAAAAUAAUAUAUAUAUGUAUAAUUAAAAAGAAAUUAAGCUGAAAAUUUUCACUAAAAACGACUUCUGAGUCUAUAUCAGAUAACAGUUAUAAGAACAAGCGUGUUAUGAUCAGUGAUCACACAAUUGUUACUCUGUAAAACCGUGAUGUGAUUGUAUGUCACACGACAAAAAAUAUGUCGAUACGUUGUCGACAUACGUCGGCAUCUCAUGGCUGUCGAUAUAUGUCGACAGCAGUCAGACGACUUUUCUACAAUACAUCAGACGGCACGGAAAAAGACAACGGUAAUCUGAACAAUCAGAAGACGUUUUUGGCCGUGGUCUUAUGCUUUUUUUGUGGUAGUGACUCGCCGUGGAGGGAAAGUGAUCGGGGACGCUGCUGGAUUCCACUGGGGUGGAGGCAUGCUGUCGUCGGUGCCGGACGGUGGCAAACGGAGGGAUGUGCGCACUUUAAGCCAGUGCGGACGUGCGCUCCACAUCCGGCCUGUAUAUAUAUAUAUAUAGAAAUGUUCCAAAGCGGACGUCCGCACUCAGCUUAAAGUGCGGACAUCCUUCCGUUCACCANNNNNNNNNNNNNNNNNNNNNNNNNNNNNNNNNNNNNNNNNNNNNNNNNNNNNNNNNNNNNNNNNNNNNNNNNNNNNNNNNNNNNNNNNNNNNNNNNNNNNNNNNNNNNNNNNNNNNNNNNNNNNNNNNNNNNNNNNNNNNNNNNNNNNNNNNNNNNNNNNNNNNNNNNNNNNNNNNNNNNNNNNNNNNNNNNNNNNNNNNNNNNNNNNNNNNNNNNNNNNNNNNNNNNNNNUGUAUAUAUAUAUAUAUAUAUAUAUAUAUAUAUAUAUACACACGGAGCCGUUCCAAAGAGGACGUCCGCACAGCCCUUAAAGUGUGGACAUCCCUCCGUUCUCCACCAUACAGCUCCGACGACGGCGGGUCUCCACCCUGGCGGCCUCCAGCAGCGUCUCCGAUCACUUUUCCUCUCCGGCGAGUCCGCCAAAAUCCAGUUUUCCGACGAGAUCACCUAAAACUUCAAACAAAAUCGAUCUUGCCGGAAAACUGGAAUUCGACGGACUCGCCGGGGAGGGAAAGUGAUCGGGGAUGCUACUAGAGGCGGCUAGGGUGGAGGCGCGCCGUCAUUGGAGCCGUACGGUGGAAAACGUUCUGACGUCCGCACUUUAAGGGCGUGCGAACGUCUGCCUCUGAUCCCGAGGUUAUCUUCUUGUUAGUUUUUGAUAUGCCAUCUGCUACAGAGAGACUCGUACCAGGAAGUACCUUGGUUGAUUAUCACCAAAAACAUUAUUAUAUCUGAUUUCGUACAAUGAAAGGACGCCAAUUGAUUUUUGCAAGCCAUGGAUCUCACAUCUUUCUAACAGAAAGUGUUCCGAGUAACAAAAUCAUAAGAAUGAUAUUUUACAACAUGCAGCAAAUUAAAAUUUUGAGCACAUAUCAAAUGCUUGCGAAUUUGCCUCUACUAAUACAAAUUAAUGCGAUCGAUUUGUUGGCAUGAAAAGCAUCUCAUUGCCAGACUACUAUUAGAAUAAGUGUGCACUCUUGAACUAAUAUUUCUUUACACAGAUUGGUUCUCAUAAACGAAUCCAAGGCAUCUGUAGCGCACAAAAAAAAUGCCAGCAACGUAACAGAACUUUAGCUAAUGCCAGUAAUUUUUACCAUCGAUCUGCUACCAUUAGUGUCCCUCUGUAUCAUCAAAUAGGUACAUAGUAACCUGUAUUCAUUCUUAGACAUGUCAGUUAUGCGGUGUUACACCUUCAGAUUUGACAGUUUUGACCACUACGAGAAAGGAUGGCACACUAUAAAUGGUCCCAAUAACGGUAUCCGGCACAUAAAACCCUUGUUCAUCUGUAGUAAGGACUUCGACAAGUUUAUCAGAUAGCUCAAACACCUGUUUUAACCUCCCCUCUUUGUUAGGCUAAUGUGGUGAUUUCUGAAGCCAUGCUUGAAGCAAACACACAAGAGCAGAGGCUUUUGAAGUACCUUAGCCCAGUCCUUUCAGAGUAAGUGUUAAACUGAGCAUACUCAAACUAGACAGGUUUUCGAGUAUGACCUUGCCCAACAAAGUAUAGUCAUCUAUUUUUUCCACCUGGACUUUAGAACCACACCCAGACACUCAUUUACCUGAUUUAGAAAGAGAGAGGAAAAAUUAUAAGCUUGGUGACAUAAAUAUUAUGUUCUUCUACAAUGACAUUAGCUAUGGAAAAAGUUUCCAAGAGCACAAGCUUGGAAUAUUGAACAACUUGCUUGUUGAUAAGGAAGAUGCAUCAAAUGACACGAAGAAGAUACCUAGAGAAGGUAACAACAUAUUGCACGCCAAAGAGAUCAAUCAGUAAUCAAGCAGCUCGAAGAAAAGUCAUUUUACAGUGGCUCCACCAAACACUUCAAAAUACUUUCUUCCCUCCACAGGAGGACAUGAGAUGAUAAUAGAAAGCAUUUUCUUUCAAAGUCCCUCCCUACUUUUAGGCAUAAUUGAGAAUUGGAGAACAAUUUAGAAAAUUAUGGAGACCAUUACAUCAUACAUCAAGCAUGUAAACACACAGGUAUAAAUAAAACUAAUUGAACACACAAACUCUCACGCAUAUGAACAGAAACAAAACAAACACCAAAGAAUAGAGAAUAUAGUAUGCAUAGCAACAUGAGAGUUGGGAUAUCCCAGGACUCCAGGAACCUUAGUAAAGUCAGAAAUGACUGUUAUAGUAGAGUAUCAAAACCACAACUUAGAAAAGAGAAUGCUAACCUCAAUGCUUGCUCACUCAAUGUAUUCAUCAACAUAACACCUGGAAGUAUAAAACCUGUCUUGAUCAUCCUGCACGUAAGCCGAAAAGAAAAAAAAAUAGAAAACGACUUCAGAUACCCAAAUCAUGACUCUAACUACAUGCAACAAUGUAAGUCAACUGAGGAAGAGAUGUAAAUUCCUUAAACAAGGGGAUCAAUUACACAAUUCCAAACAGCGCAUAGAAGGUAACAACAAGAAUAGGGCAUGAAGAAGUUAAUGGAAUAUAUCAUGUAAUGAUGUAUCCAAUGCCACUAUCACUACACAUCCCAGUCACCCAGUUUAAAUGUCAAUUUUCUGUGUUCUUCUCUAAUACAAAUCUUCCUAACCCAUCAGACAUCAUCACAGCAUCCUCCCAGUUCCCUGCAUUAGCAAAUCUUUUCAUAACUAAACAUACAGUGUUAGGCGUUUUACAAUAAAAAAAAAAAAAAAAACAUAUAGUAUUGGUGUCUACUAGAUGAUCCUGAUGCAUUCUCUCUAACAAAUACAUAGUCUUAUAUCCAGCUGCCUCGUUUUACCUAAAAUGUCGAUGAUCACAUCAUAUGCAUAGCCAAAUCGUAAACCAACCCAUCUAGACACACCCAAUGCUAAAUUCCAACCCAUUCUUAAACUCGAACAAAAAAAAAAACUGAUCAACAAGGUCAUGUGUGAGAUGAAUGCUAUUAAAUACAUGACCAUCUUCAAUGGAUCAACAUACAUUCUGGAUAUGAUAAAUUGAUAAUGUCCUACACCCAGAGUAGCUUGUUAAGCUUAAAACCUAGAAUCCAGAUUAGCUUAAAGCCCAAAAGCCCUACACCCUUCAUACAUAUAAUUGCAGUACUGAUUGACUUGUAGAGAAAAGAGAACUCUUUUACAAAGUUCAAUAACAUCUGUCUAUUAAUGGCAUUAGGCAAAUCUGGCCUAACCUCUAUCUAACCUUGAUGGCAUUGAAUCUAAUGCCAUGAGUGGCUGUUUUCGAAAUCAGUUAACUGUAGACAAAUUCAAAACUACAGACAAAACCCAGGCAGUUAUCAGCUACGAAUCACAUAGGUCAAAAACUAACAUCACACUGAAGUACAUAAAAAAAAAUAAAAAAAAUAAAUCUUCUUCCUAAACUUGCACAGUUAACAAACAAUAGAAUAUAAAUUAAAACCAGACAAGCAUAUAAUAUUUGGUAAAACUUUGCUUUAUUAGCACAUUCACAUUUCCAGAAGGCAUCAAAAUCCUAGAAUGUGCAUAGUGAUUCAGACGAGGAUAUUAAUAAAAGUAAAGCCGACACAUUUAAUUUUGAGUGCGUAAGAGGAUUAAGGUAUGUAAUUUCCUGUAAUCUAAUUGUAUAAUCAUUACUGAAACUAUUAUUCACUGAACAUCUAAUACUAUGAGAUUAUUAGUCAACAGACGACAUGUGCAAGACUUACAGAUACUCCCAAAGGAUCAAAUGAGAGAUAACCAGAACGAAGUAAUAAAAGUUACCUUAUAUAGAGUACAUACACAGAAGGCAGAAGCAGAAAACUUUUUUCACAUUUCAAAGUGAAAUGGAGAUGCCAUUAGUAGAACAGUUCACUUUGAAGUCCUCUUAUCUGGCUUCAAUAAACGUCUUUACUUCAACUCACUGGGAUUGCUAUUCCUUUCUGCUCAACUGUAGAUGACGACUACUAAAUGAAAUUAUGUAGUCCUUAGAAUAUUAAUAAAAUUGUAUGUUCAUUAGAUCGGUAAGUUUCAACAAAAGAGAACAACGCACCAAGAAUUAAAAUUACAAACUGCAAGGAAUUCAUGAACCAAAAGAGUUCCAGUUUCAAGUUUCUUUUGGUUCCCUUAAUCGAUCAGUCAUGGUUUUACAUAGCAACACAAAGUAACUUGAGCAAAUUGAUAUCGUUUUGUUAUGCCCAACUCGUCAAAAGCAGAUCAUAUAGUGUGGUUAAAAAGGAAAAAUGUGUAUGCAGAACCACAUUAGAGGGUAUAGAGACUACAGGGGCACCAAAUACUUCAAGAGUUCAAGGUCAUCAUGUCAUAAUGAUAUAAAACAGCACCAAGUCCCCUAUUUAAAGUCAAUCCUAAUAAUCACCAAAGCUCAUUAGGUACCUUAUAUUUGAAACAUCCGAAUCCAAAACUGCUGGAAUACAUGGAUGAAGCAAUGCAUCAGCCCUUUAACUUAAGAAGAACCAUGCUCAUGGCCCUUCUUUUUACAGGUGUCGAUCUUCCCUUUAAAACCUCCAUCAUAGCCUUUGCAUUUGGAACAAACCCCAUACCAAUCAUCACCUCCACCAACUCUUUUCCCUCCUCCUCAGCUGCCUUGUCCUCCUGCUUUGCAAAGGCCUCUAUCACCGCAGUGUAGGUAGAAGCAUUGGGCCGCUUCCCUUUAUCCAUCAUCUGAAACAAGCACUUCUUGGCAUCUCCAUAGAAGUUGGGGUCCGUAGUGAGUCCCUUGAUUAAAAGAGUGUAAGUGUAGGAGUUUGGGGCGACCCCAGCAGCUAACAUGUCCUUGUAAGCCUCAAGACACCCUUGAUCUUCCCAGCCUUGAGGUAAGCCUCAAUAACGGUGGUACGGAUUAGGACCAUAGGAUGUGUGCCCGUCAACCCCGUCUGAAUGACGGUCGUAGCAAACUCCCUGGCCUCGUCUACAUAGCCAUCUUUUACCAGAGCAUUGUGCAUCUUGAUUGACUCUUUCUUGAAGCUACGUCCACUGGUGUACCACUUGCGGAAGACCUUUUGCAUAUCCUUGUCAAUUGUCUUGUUGACAAGAUCAUUGUACAACUUUAUUGCCUUCAACACCUCUGUGUAGUGGCCUUGGCCUUGGCCAAAAUAGAAACUAGGGACCUCAGGGCUAAACCCCUUUGCUUGUAUCUGCCCAAGGAACUCCCUGGCUUCCUCCUCUGGCUCCCGACAGGCAAUGGCAUUCAAGAUAGAAAAGUAGGACACAGAAUGGGGCUUUAACCCCUUAUCCAACAUUUCCAUAAAAUACUUCUUGGUAAGGCCAACAAAACUGGGAUCCGAAGAGUCUUUUGCAAGGGCAAUGAUGAGUAAGUGUGGGAGGAAGGGGAGACACCAGAGGCUAACAUGUGCUGGUAGACCUUGAGAGCAGCCUUCCGUUAAAGGCAUAUGCUCCGAUGACAAAGGUGAAGACAGCCACAUCAGGCAGCACGGCCUGCAGAUCAGCAAGGCCAGCAUUUGCAUGUUCGUUAAGGUCAUCAUAGUUUCGAAUCGAUGCGAAAAUGUCCUCACAGUAUUUGGUAGCCUCAUCAAAAACCUCCAUCACGUGUUUCUUGAGGUCAUCAGCACAAGAAUUGGCCAUUGAUUUGAUAGUUGGCUGGAGAUUAAUAGUUGAAAAAUGAGAAAAGCAAAUAGAGACCCAAAUCAGCCCAAUUAGUAAAGUUGAGGUUUUUACUACUUAUAAACAAACAAUCAACCAGCCAUCGAGGAUCAAAACUAUACUUGAAACCCAGAGCAGAAAUGAAAUUGCGAUUUGUAUUCAAUCACUACAAACUCAUUAAACCCUAGUAGUUGCUAGUUGUAUAAGAGAGAAUAAGGUCAAUAAAAUAAAACCUGGCUUAGGGUUUCGACGAUGAGACCACAGAUGAUAGAGAAAAGCUCACUAAACUUCCUGUGGCGAUUUCCGGCAGUUGCUCCUCUUUAGCAACUUUGGGGGAGGGAAGAGUAGAACAAUACUCUUGAGUAAGAGAAAUGGAGGACACUUCUUUUUAGACAAAUUUCCGAUGACUAAAAUAUCCCCGACGAUCACGUAAGUCGGUGGUUUGAAAAAAUGAAAUUUUGAUAGAUAUAUUGAGAAAAUAUUGAAUAUCGAUGGAAUUUUUAUUCAAAUUUAUAUAAAAAUUAUAUAUUCGAUCAAAAAUAAACCAAAUAUAAAGGCUAGUGUUAUUAACACUUCAUUUUGUAUCAUUAACACACCCCGUCUAUUUUCUUAUCCACACAUUUUAAUUUUAUUUAUAAACUUACCACUUAAAUUUGUUUUAUAAUUAGUUCUCAUUAUAGAUGGGUGUGUUAAUAACACAAAAAUAUGUGUUAAUAACACUAAUCAAUAUAAAAUAUCAGAAAUAUAUGAAAAUUAAUAUCGGUGUUUGUUAAAAACGGAAAUUUCAAGAAAAUAUCAAGGAUAUUGUGGAUAUUUUAGUCCUUGCAAAUUUUAAAUUUUGCGGAAAGGAAAGUAGUUCUUUCAUCUCUCCCAUGGGAAGGGAAAGUGAACGGAAUGAAAUUUCAAAAAAAGUUUUCAUUCCGAUGUUUAGUAACGUAAGGAAAAUCAUUAGGAAAGUUCUUAAAAAAUAUAAUAAAAUAUUAUAAUAUAAGUAAUAAAUAUAGGAAAAAAAGAAACGAAACUAGUUCCAUUAGAUUUUGGAAGAAGCCACUUUCCCCCAUAUUUUCCCUUCAAUCAGGAAAGUCUUUCCUUUCCUUUGGCUUUCCCACAUGUAAUGUCACAUCCCGACCCUUAAAUUUUUACCUUAUUUACUAGUUUGGUAUUAAUAAGAAUUUUACCGUCUCCGUCAAUGAGUUAUGGUUUACUUGGUCCUUAGAGGGGUUUUGGGGGACGUUUAUUUCGGAGGAAUUAUUCGUAGGAGAAAAGUGUGACGACGGUAAAAAUGGUAAAUUUUAGCUAGUAAAAGGUAAUUUUUAGGAUUAAUUACUGGUCACUCCAUUAACUUUCAUGCGCUCGACAGUUUAUUCCAUUAACUUUCAAUUUCAAUCGAUUACUCCAUUAACUAUCCAAUGUCACACAAUUAGGUCCAUCCGUUAAGUGGCCGUCCAAAUCAGUGGUUAAGUUGCUGAUUGGACAUAUUUUUCAACUGAAAAUUCCAUUUAACACCCCACCUCUCUCUCUCUCNNNNNNNNNNNNNNNNNNNNACUACUACUACCUACCUACCUCCUCCUCUCUCUCUCUCUCUCUCUCUCUCUCUCUCUCUCUCUCUCUCUCUCUCACACAUUUAAAACCCAUCAGCCAACCAUGGCUUCCCACUUUUCUCUCUCCGCCAUUUCUCUCAUCACCCUCCUCUUCCUCGCCGAACGCCGCCUCAUCCAUCACCAUCGGCGUCACCUAUUCCGCCUCCACCGUCGCCACUUGCCCCACCCCUUCGCUACAGGAGCGUGUGGCCUCGACCAUUACUUCUCUCAGCCUCGCCGCCGUCCGCCUUGACGUCUCUGACCCCAACCUCGUCCGCGCCUUCCUCUACUCCAACACCACCCUCCUCAUCACCAUCCCCAACGCGCUGGUGUCCCAUCUCUGGCCGCCAACCGCACCAACACCCUCUGUUGGCUCACCGUUCAACACUUCCAAUUCCCAAAUCUGAAAUUUUAGGGAUUGAAAUCCCCAAUUCCCAAAUUUGUUUCCAAUCAAACAAAUGGCUUCAAUUUCAUAUAGAGGAAGGGGAGGCGAGUGAGAAGAGGUUGUUGACUGGGGAUUCGAAGUGGUUGAGAUUUCAAGUCUAGCACGGUUUGAAGCGGAAAACGGAAGGGCUUCAUGGAUGGUGUUGUUUUGGAUUUGGUUGGCGGCGAAGGGAGAAGAUUGUUGUGAGGGUUUGAGUUUUGGGCUUCGAGAGAGAGAUGCGAGGUACGUGGGUUUGAGAUUUUGGCGUUGGGAGAGAGAUGUCGAGGAGCUGCGGGGUGAACUACUGGUGGUGUGGUUGGUUGCUGGUGGUCUGGUUGCGGUGUGUUUGAUUACGGUGUUGAUGUGGUUGGUUGGUUGGUUGCUGGUAUUGUUGUUGCGGUGUUGUUGAAAGUCCAACUGGUGAUGUGGUGGCGUUGUGGUUGCAGAGGAGGUGGAGGAGGAGAGAGAAGAGAUUGAAGAGAUUAAAGAGGGAGGGAGGGAGGGUGUUAAAUGGAAUUUCUAGUUGAAAAAUAUGUCCAGUCAGCAACUUAACCACUGAUUUGGACGGCCACUUAACGGAUUGACCUAAUUGUGUGACAUUGGAUAGUUAAUGGAGUAAUCGAUUGAAAUUGAAAGUUAAUGGAGUAAACUGUCGAGCGCAUGAAAGUUAAUAGAGUAACCAGUAAUUAAUCCUAAUUUUUAUUAGGGUAUUAUUUCGUGGUGUUAGUUCUGGAGUUGGGUUUAUUGUUUAGUGUGGGUAUUAAGUGUUGGACCGGUUUGGGGAGGCCCAAACCAUUUCUCUUUUCUCUUUUCUCUUUUCUCUUUUCUCUUCCUUCUCUUCUUUCCCCGACUCUCCCUCUUCCUCUCGCACUGCCGGAAACCCCCGAGCUCCCAUCGCCACCGUCCGGCCAAGAGGAGACGCCGCACCUGUUCAGCUCAGUCUGUCUCCCUCUCCGCCAUCUUCCUGGGUUGGUGAGCGGCGCUGCAACGCCACCGAGCGGAGGAAGUUCUCCUUAGAAGCCCGGUGGUCUUCUCGCCGGAACUCUCUCCUCCGACUGCUAUAGCCGGCGAUUCUUGGGUCGUUUGGAAGCUCUUCUCCCGUGCAUCAAUCUCUCCAAAGGCUUCCUUCCCCUUGGUUUAGGUAAGGAGAUUUUGGUGUUGGAAAUUCUAUGACUCAUUUGAUGUUUUUUUUCGAUUACCCUAUCUAGGCUUGGAAUUUGUGUUUGUGCUAGUUAGAAAAGUUGUAGAGGGGGUUGAGAGGAAGAUGCUGUUAAAUUUUGGUAGGCAUUGGGGUCCCCGGAGUCGGCCGCCGUUGCCGGCGGAGCAGACGGCGGCGGCGCCGCUGUUAGAGGGAUUUUCAUGGUUUUAAAUGUAUAAUAUUAAGGGGAGUUUAAUGAUGUGAAGUGUGGAUUUUUGGAGGAGUUUUGGAUAGGUUUGAGAUUUUUAAAAGAUUGGUGAAUUUGGCGGUUAAUAGGGUAGAAUCCGUACGUUGGAUUUUCUUUAUUAUUGUUUUAGAAUGUUGAAAUAAAAGAAAUAAGGUUGUGGUUCGAAUUUGGCGUGAAUCCAAUAAGCUUAACCCUAGAAAGGGUAAUGGGUUAGGCGGAAGAGUUUUGGGUUAUAUAUUUAAGUAUUAUUUAUUUCUGAAAUUGAAGUUUGGUCCUAAGCAUGGUUAUUGUGCCAGGAUUCGAGGAGACCUCACUUGAGUGGCGAAUUAGACUUCAUCGGGCUUAUCUUAUGCCUAAAGUUGUGAGUGGACGUUCGUUUUAAAUUAUAAGCAUACGGUGAUUUCAUAUUAAAUGAAUGAUUUUAUUGAAUAUCAAUUUGUGGAAUUGUUUAUUUUCGCGAAGUUAUUUUUGGAAGUAAAUGCUCUUAUUUUAUUUGUUAACUUCGCUAUUUGGGAAGUUACCGAAAAUGAGAUUUUCUGUGGAGUCAUAUAUUUAUUGCUUCUGUUAUAAUUGACAAUUUUCAUUAUUUUUUAAGAGUUACCGAAAAUGAUAUUUUCGGUGGAUAUGUAUAUAGAUGAUUAUGAGGAUAGUAUGUAUAUAAAUAAAUGCUAGCUAGCUAUACGUGCAUUUCUGCCAUAAUGAGGUAAAAUUUCAUUAUGGUGUGACGUGAGCAUUAGACGCAAUCGUCGUAGCCCUAUAUAAAUUUAGUAAUUUAUAUAGGGAAUAUGCACGUAUAUAUACACUCGUGCUUUUCCACCAUAAUGAGGUAAAAUUCCAUUAUGGUGUGAUGUGAGCGUUAAACGCAAACGUAGUAGCUUUGUAUGAAUUUCUAUUUUCUUAUUCCUUCAUAGAAUUCGUACAAGGAGUAUGACGAGUCUAAAUACAUACAUACAUAUAUAUAUAUAGUUUAGCCUGAGAGGCUGUAUUUUUUUUAAAGGUUUGGAGACUAGCCGGAGCUAGUCAUGUAAUUACCAAUUGAUGAGUGGAGAGCUUUUGAGCUGUCGCAUACAACAUAUUUUCUAUGGAAAUUUAAAUUGGGAAAGCAUAAAUAUUUUUCAUUAAAUUCAUUUUUGUCCACUCACUCUAACGUUUUUCAAUUGUUUCUCCCCUGGGCCUUUCGUUUUAAAAAUGCCCAGUAUGCAGGUUUGCAUUGUUGAGAUCGGGCGUCUAUGGAGAAGAGGCAUAGUCAAUAGUAUAGCUUCCGCUCAUUUUUAUAUUUCUAGUUCUUUUCCUCUCAAAUAGAGUUGCUCUGAACUGUGGUGGUUGGUUGUGAGAUUUUCUUUUUAAAGUUAGUAAAUAAUUUGGGAGAUGUUGUGAUUUGGGGGAGCACAAAGGCUCCAAGAGUUUAAGGUUGGAUUUGGAUUUUUAGAAGUGUUUGCAGGUAUUUUUUUAGAAGGGUUGUCCAUUUUCAAGGGAGGUUAUGCCGAAUUUUUAGUAAAUUUUCGUUGGAGGUGGUUCCCGCAGGAUUUACUUCGGGUUUUAGGGUGAAAUUCGGGAUGGAUCUUGACACGUAAGAAAUGAACAACUUUCCUAUUAUACUACCUACUUUCCGCGAAACAAACAAGGCCUAAAAGAGUGUGCGGAAAUGUGUGUAGGACUUAGAGCAAAUGCACCCAUUUUUGGUGGGUUGGACCAAUCCUCAACCAGGGCUAAUGUACUAUUCAUCCAGAUCAGUUAGUGGUCAUUAGUUCGAUGAUACAACAACAAGACCAAUCUGAGGACCAAUUACUAUUCACCUUUUAUAAAAAUAUUUUUUUAUUGAUAAACAAUUAUUGUCUUUUACUUUAUUAUUGAAUUCAAUAAUUAUUUAUUUAUACACAAGAUGCUCAAGUAAUAUAUAUAAAGAAAUUAAAUUAAAAAAUACCAAUAAUAUAUCAAAGACCAAUGUGGGAAAGACAUGUAUUCAUAUCAUAUCGUUAUCUUUCAUAAAUAUCUAAAAAUUUCAGAUAAGGCUAUACCAAUGAACGGACGAUAUAUAAUUCAAGAGUAAUACAAUCUAUUGUGGGGAUUGUGAAUCCUCAAAAAGAGGCCUAUAGCAAUCUGCAUUAGAGUUAGAACAAGUUCACCCAUUGGGUUAGAAUGAACACAGUGACUGGGCAGCAGUUUUUACCCGUUUGAAAUGUGAGAUUGCUGCUAUGUGGCAAUGAUUGUUUAUUAAAUUAAAAAAAAACAUUUAGUGUGAACAAUUGUUUUAAAAAAAAUGUUUCGUGACAUAUUGAAAUAAUUUUGAAAAGACUUAUAAUUUUAUAAAUAAUUUUAUUAAGACUUAUACAAGUUUAUGAUUUUAUGUCGUAACAAAAUGGUAUUUAUAAAUAUUUAAGUAGCCGUUUGAUUACACUGAAUCCUAGUGCUAAAAUACUGCUCUAAUUGUCUUAAGUAGUUCAUAGCCACACAAUUAAUAUUUUGAAAACAAACCAACGGCCAAGAUUAAGUGAAUAUUGAAUUAAAAUAUAUGUCAGUCACUCAUGUGCAUGAGACGGGUGUUGGUGGGCUCCAUUAGUUGUGCUUCACAACAGAAAACUGACGUGCACACGUCAAUGCUGCACUCCUAUUCGUUCGUGUAGAAGAUGUGUCUCUCCUUCGUGUCUGGGGACCACCUCAGUUUGGCUGACGCAAGCAGUCACAUGAGCUCAGGCUGAGGUGGACUAAUCCCGCUUGGGCUGGAUUUCUCCUCCAACCUAGGUUAGAUUGCUCCCCAACAAUCUGACAUGGGUUGAUUUAGGGAGAUAACCUAUUUGUAGGUGGAAGAUUGGGUUUUUUUUCUUGAGUUGGAUGGUAUAGGUGGCAAGUAACUCAAGUUGAAUUUUUUUGAAUGGGUGGACUUGCUCUUAGAAUCGGUUUUUCUCCUAAUGUCCUCAUUCUUUUGAAUCAAUCCUUUGACCCCGACAAAAUAUCAUUAUUUGGCAUGCCCAUUAUCCUUGCAUCCUCUUUUGCUUUUGCCUAUUCAAAUGCCAUCAUUCUUUCAUAUUCGGCACGGCGGUUCUCUUCUUUUUUCCUAAGAAUCUCAUUGGAAAUUUUGUUGCUCUCGAUGAUGGUGAGUAAGGCUUGAACCAUGGAUUCACCCAAACCUCUUUAUUUUUUCCUUUCCUUCUUACUUCUUUGGCGGCCGUUUGUCUCAUUGGCCUUCCAACGGAGCUAGGAGGCGUCUCCAAUACAACCUCUUCAUCUAAAUUAAUUAGUGAUUCGGUUUGAGAACCACUAGCCAUGGAAUAAACAAACGGGUAGGUGCAUUUCUAAAACUAGGGUGGUCCUUCACCGCCUCCCAACAUUCAUGAUGGUUGAAUUGCUUCUUAGUCACCCUUAUAAACUCUAAAUUAAUUUAACGCUCCUACAAAAAAAACACUCAAAUAUUAGAAAAAUUGUAAACUAUAUGAAUUAGUUGUCACUUAAUUUAAGUGAAUGGUCUAAAAAAUGCCUCAUCUAAUUGAUUGGUGUCGCUUGGUCUAUGAUUGCCGACUUGAAUUUUUGCAUUGUGACACUCUUUGAGAAUCUUCUUCAAGGGCUUGAAAUGAGCUUGAAGAGCUCCCGAUAGUCGAACCGGGGUUGAUCCCGUCCAAUUUUCAAUAUAAUGUUCACGAACCUUGAGCCACAUCAAUUAGAAGGGUUUGGUGAUUGCCCGUGACGGGGCAUAUGGUAACUGCUGCCCAUGAUUCGCACAAUUGAACUUUCUCCUCUUUGGUCCAAGUAGUACCCGACUCUCCCAUUUGUUGAUUAGAGAAUGAAAAAGAGGAACAAAUAAAUUGAAGAAGAAAGAGAUGGAUAGAAGAAGAAUAUUAUGGUAAAGAAGAACAAAUAAAUUGGAGAAGAAAGAGAUGUAUGUGUGUAAAACGAAGAAGAGUAAUAUGGUAUUUAUAUGAAAAUUUUGUUGUUGUUGUUUUUUUUUUUUUUUUUUUCAAUUUGUUCAGAAUAUUUCCGUUGGUUACCUAUUUUCUAAUUAAAAAAUUAUGUUACCGUUGCUUUUAAAUAUGGUCUGUUAGAUCAAGAUUUAACAAUCCAUAUUAAAAGCCUGUUGUUUUGGUAGUUUUAUUUUUUGCUCGUUGGAGACAAAAGCACAUGGCUCUGCAGCAAGUAGCAUCAGCGCAUGUGGAUCCCGCCAUUUCUUUUAACCCAGACUAAUUCGUGGACUGAAAAUUGGUCCAUCUCUUACCCUGGGUCAGCUAGUCCCAUGUAGGGCUCAUGAGUAACCCAUAUUUAUUUUGCACCGGUGUAUGUCUAUAUUGAUCCAACACAUCAUCUCUCUCACCUAAUUAAUAACCCGAACGCUGCAUCUGCUCUUAUGAUUACUUCUUAUUCCACAUUCAUGUAGAAAAUUCUGUUAUAUAGCGCAAUAUAGCAUACCGAGCAGUAAAGUUAAAAUAAAUAACUUUGUGAGCUUCUCAAUAGGAUAAGGAUCAUUUCCUUGGCUGGUAGUUGGACUUGGUUACCUUGGCUUUUUUUCUCAACCGUAGAUUACAAAUCGGAAGGUUAAUAACACUCAACGUCAUUAAAAUCUUGGGAAAAUCAAUAAUGAAUGCAAAACUUUCACAUUACACUACGAUCCACUAUUAACCACAUUAAUGCCAUCCACAUCCCCUUUUAUUAUUAUUUUUUUCUUCUUCAUCUUUUUAUUCUGCAAAAUCGUCCUCAGUCCUUCACCACUUCAUUUCUACAAAACUUCCUUAAACACUCUUCUCAUUUCAUGAAACUCGAAACAACUUUGAUGUAGCAUUGCAGCAUGUAAAAGAAAAAUUGAAACAUAACUUAAAAUUAUUAAAAUAGAAAAAUUGAAGUUCUCAGAAAUAUAACGAUCGUGCAAGGGGAAUUGUCAAGUGAAAGGGCUCUGAUUUGUGGUUUUUAUUGCAGGGAUGUGUUGAUUUGGACAAAGCCCUCGUGUAUAUAUAUAUAAUGAUUCUGAUCUUUGUCCUCUCUUAAGUGGGGAGAGAUUGAUUUGAUAAAGAUAAGAUUUCGAAUCAUAUUUUCAUUAAGAGAUUAAUCUAUCAUCAUCAAGUUUGAUCUUUCCAUAACAAAUUAAUUCCAUAAUCUAAAAAUUGUUUGUAGCUACGAGAGACGAAUUGAAAAAGACGAGGAUGGAGGAAAAGAAUGAACAGCGUUAAAAGUAGAUGAGUUGGAAUGUUGAGAGUUUUGCAUUUAAUAAAGAUUUUAAUUACGUGGAGUGUUAUUAGCCUUUAGGUGUAUAAUCGACGGUUAAGAACAAAAGCUAAAGAUAACAACUAGCCAAGGAGAGGAUCUUUAUCCUUCUUAAUACCGGAAAGACCCAAGAGCAGGUGAAGAAUUCAAGACCAGUUAGAAACAAAGGUUGAAAACUCAUUGACAUAUAUAGGGUGUGUGAGUUAUUUAAUUAAAAAGUUUUUAUUUUUUUUAUUUUUUUUAUUUUUUUUUAAGGAAACAAAGGUUGAAAAAUAUUUGGCUCCUUGCUCGAUCAUGUCUUCUAGCUCAUUGUAAAUUGUGUUUUGUAUUGUAAUGCAUGGCAAAUGCAUGUUCAUCAAAGUUAAACUUGAGAUGAUAUAUAUGGUGUUUUCAAUGUUAAACUUGAGAUGAUAUGGUGGAGAAUGUAGAUUGGGACGGAUAGAUAAGAUAUGUUCAUCAGAGUUCAUAAGUGAAAUGUACCAGUUCCUAAGGAUUUUGCACUUUAACAACUUCGGUUUUAAGAACUAAGGUUUGAAAUCAUGGCAUGUUUGUUACUUACAUGUUCCAAUAGCUUAUCAAGACCUGAUACAACCUUGGAUUCAAUGAAGUCAAUUUUUUGCCUAAUAUCAACUUUCUUUAUGAUCAACAAGCCAACUUCACCAUAUGUUUGUCUUACGAUUUAUAUCUACGGCCGCAAUCUAUUCAGAACCAUAAAUAGUGUCAGAUCGAUGUAAGGUCACCAUUGACUACUUCUGAUAGUGUCCUUUUUUAGACUUGCAUGACAAUGAAGUAGAUUGAAAAUCAUAAUAACCUGACCUUGCCAUCCUCAAGAAUUGUAAGUGCGGUGAGGAGAACAUAAUAUCAUGUGAAAACUCCAAUUUCAAUUGUCUUCUUUGCAUAGCUGCAGCAUCAUGGCUAGUAACUUUGGUUCAUUCUAUGUAAUGGCAUAUCCAUCCUUGAAAAUUAAUAACAAUGCUAAUAAUCCAUUCCGACACAAUAUGAUAAGAAAACAAUCUAUUAGUCUUCACACACCAACAUCAAAGUGGUAUGCCAAGUGAAUGAUUUAUCUCAAUGAAACUUAAGAUGCAAGCUAGCUUUGAAAAAGUGUCAUCAAAAUGAAAUGCACUAAACUAAGAAUGUUGAUUACCGAAGUUGGCUGGCAGUGACAUCCCUCAUCUCCUUGAGAGGUGUUGAUUUAUUUGGAUACAUACUAGUACUGAAGAUUUAUGUACUGUCACAUUGGUAAAGAUCAAUCAUUACAAUUUCAACCAUUUGACUCCACUCCUCAAAACCCUUCAGAACUUUAUAGUCUGCAAAGAGCUAGGAACAUGAAACCCAACCGAUUGUUUACAACCGAUAAUGAAGAAAAAACUAGAUGAAUUAUACAUAAAUCCACUUCCACACAAAGACAGACAAAAUUACAAGUCAUAUUCAAGGUCUAGUCUUUGCAUUAACAACAUAGCAUAUCACAAAAAUCUGAAGGUUUUAGAAUAAAAAUACAACCUUAAGUACUUAAUGAAGAUUUUAAAAGCUGAAAAUCUCGUCAAAUUGUAUUAAAUAGGUACACAUUGUCUCUACUCAUUCAAUAACACCAUCUAAAAGUUGCAAACUAAAUCAAUGAUGGUCUUUGAUUUGUUAGAAGAACGACAGGAUGUAUCAUAGAUCAACACUUUAGUAAGUGUUGAAAACAACUUCUGAGGAGAAGAUAGGUGCUCAGGAUCCAUCUCUUUUGUCUCUUUAGGCACAUGGAAAACUCGUCUUGCAUUCUCUAGCUUGUCAUGGUUAAGAAACACAAUACGAUGGACUUGAAAAUCAUUUGUGGAUCGCAAACAAUAGACACUUGUCACUUUUUAGUUCCUCCUGAUUGAAUUUAAAAAGCAAAAUUGUGAACUUCACAUAAUUUAAAGUAAAGAGAUAUAUUCAACAAACACAAUAACAAACCAACCAAGCUUUAUCUGUGAUUCAGUUAGAGUGUUAUUUGGCACAAAUAGAAUCAUAACGACUUCUUCAUCAGCCUCCACACAAUGAGAGUAUAAACUUAGGGCAUCGCCUGAGAAAAUUGGUGUAUAAACCCCCUCCUCUAGGCAACCAGCUAAAACAAACAUAAAACCAAACAAUUAGAAUCAAUGAUGGAAUAUAUGUGAUCAAAGGAAUGAAAGAGGAAAAAAAAAAAAAAACUUAGGGAGCUUACCCUGUGCUCCUCCUCCUAUAUUAGGACCGAUCAUAGUUGUGAGCUCUUAAAAGAGCUUGCAGACACCGAUUAGCCCCGUCUUGUUUAUCCAUCAAUAGAAUAUAUACAUUUAUGCAUAAUUUUAACCACUCCCUAAUGUAACGUAAUUGCUGUCAUCUCCAACUCUGAUUUCGGUAAAGUAGUGAGAAUUGUUAUUAAUAACUGUGAAUGCAUACAUUUGACCAAUCUGCACAGUAAAAGAACACGCACGCUUUGUUGUUGUUUUAGACUCAAAUUAUACCAAAGCAGCCACAAACCCGACUUAAUAAUAAGCCCAUAAAAACAAAAUAUCAUCUUACCCCUCUAGAUGGCCAUCUAACAAGGAUGUCGUCGUAGUCAUCACGCUUCAAUUUAUCUUUUGCACGUCUAUGGCAAUGCUCUUCGAUCAUUUGCUUCACAAAUUCGAUCGUAGUUGACUUUUGAAUUAUUCGCUCUUCUCUGGCGACCUACACAAAAAAUAUAUAAGGUCAAAUAUGUUUACAGUUCCGCAUCAGGGAAUAAUUAUAUUUGUGAAACUCUUACCACUCUUUUGACAUAGAGAUACAUGUUAUCCCAAGGAGUAACAACGCCGGUUGUCGUACAGUAAAUGUUUGAGAUGCUUGAUAUCUCAAAAAGUUUUUCGUCGGUAUCAGAUACUGAGGAAAACAAAUAAAAAGAAAUAAGAAUUAGGUUCUUAACCCAUGAAUUAUGUCAUUCAUAGAAGGAGAUGUAUGAGUAGAGAAAUUAAGAGAGAGGCUGCCGAUGACGGCUUGUCGGAGGCCGGAGAGCUCCAUGGCGGUAACAAAAGUAACGGUGAGGUUUCUGCGGAAGAGGAUACGAGAAGAAGAACAAAGCAUUUGGGAUGCCCAGAAACAGAUAUAGUGUGUCUAGUAGCAAAAGUAAUUUCCACAAGACUUAUAGGGGUUUUUUUUCUUGAGUAGUGUUAGAGACACCAAAAUAUUAUACCAAAUUCAGAUCCCAAAUGACAUGGUGUUUGCCACCUCAUCGUAAUAAUUUCUCAUUUGUAAUUAUCAAUCAUUUUUCAUUUUAUAGUUUCCAACUUUUAUGUAAUUAAUAAUUAAAAUAAAAAAUAAUGUUUUCCUACAAUCCUAAAAAAUCGAUAUUCUUGUAACCAAAAAAAUAAAAAAUCGAUCUUCAACCAAUACCAAUCAUCAUCAUCCUCAUCUCAUGUGCACCAGAUCUAGAACCCAAGUGAAGAAUACUCAUCUAGGAUUUGAAGAAAUAAAAGAUGUUGCAUAUGAAAAUAAAAAAAAUAAAGAAGAUGAUUAUGAAUAUAGCAACCAGAUUAAAUAAAAUUGGCCUGUAAACAAUCAUAUUCAUAAGGGAUAUCAUGGAAAAUUGUGAGUUAUGCGUUGUGAUAAUCUUAAUUAAUUUUGUAACAGCUAAAUUUUCAUUAUCCUAAAGAACAUAUGUUACCUAACUUGUUUUGAAUAUGUAUAUAUAUUUCGUUGAAUAACAAAGAUAUGUAAUAAAAAUUAAGAGAAAAAAAAGGGGUGAAAGAUUCAUAAAAAGUUCGACAAUUUUUUAUCUUUUAUCAUUUCUUAAAACUUUUGCUUUCAUUUAGUCAAACUGAUCGCUCAUAAGUCUUAGAUAGAGAGAUAGAUUGCGCAACUAUAUAUCCUGCUUAAAAAAAGAAGUGGAAUAUGUAUCCUUGACUCGUUAAUCUCGCUACCAUAUGAAUUGAACAUUUUGGUGAAACUAUUUUCAAAAUCCCCACCAAUAUUGACAUUAUUUUACUCACUUCACAAACUUAAUCUAUGGUCGAGCUUAGUUGCCUAUUCUUGAUUACAUCUGGCUAGAUCUAGACUAGAUGUGCAUGAUUUUUUAUCGACGAUAUGCAAUGACGGCCAAAUCAAUGUUGCUGAAGGCCUAACCACAGAAUAUUGUGGAUUUCUUAGUGCUGAAUGCUCACCCCAAAAAAAAAUAUGAAUAUAUAUUUUUAUAUAAUGAAGAAGAAUCGACAUAAUGAACUAUAAUACUUCGAAAUGCAAUUUAACAUCAACAAAGAGUGCAAGAAUUUACAUAAUUUUUUUGAUGUAUGGAAUCUAGUAGGUGGCUAGAUCACUAAGAUUGAUACUACAAGCAUCGAGAGCACAGAUCUAGGAAUGACAAGAAAACAUAUGGAAACGAAACAAGAAAAAGUUUAUAAGAUCUUGGUUGGUCUGAGAAUGCGGUAGAGAGACAUCAUUAUAUAGAGAAACAAAAAAGAAGGCAUUUAAGGUUAGAAAGGUAUGCAUGUAAUUAUAUGUAUCAACGUGUCAAAAUAUUGUGGUAUUAUAUAUAACAACGUGUCAAAAUAUUGUGGUAUUACAUGUGUUAAUGUGUCAAAAUAUUGUGGUAACAUUGCUUUGUAAUUAUUGCCUUUAUACAUAUAGUUUUGUGAAAUUUAUAAUGUCUUUAUUGCCUAUGACAACUAGCUAAAUUAGUUAAUGAAUCUCGUCUCUACUAAUUUGUAUACUUGACUUCAUCUUAAUUAGAUCUUAUGAAAGAUUUUCUUCCAUAAUAAAGGAAUAAACGUCGCAUUCCAAAGUAAUCACCAAGUGCUACACAAACGCAACUAUUACUAGCAGUAGGCAUGCAGAUCAUCUAAAACAAAUAGCAUCAUUAAGAAAAAAAUGUUCAUUAAAAAAAACGUUGAAUUGCCAAUUUAUCAAAAGUACUACACAAAAAAAUUGCAAUGGUACUUAACAACAAUUGCUCCUAAAAGACACACCUAAUGCUUUCCAAAGAUAAAAACAAUAGUCACUUCAAAAAAAAAAAAAAACACCAGUACUUAGGAAAUCGAACAUGUUCCCAAUUUUGUUAUGGAAGUAUCUAAACUAGACUAUAAAAGUAGACAAACAAGUUUUCUAUUAGAGAAAUGAUAUUGAAGUGAAUGAGUUAUUUCAUUACAUUUCUAUAAGCUACUGAUCUGCAAAUGGAGGAUAUGCUAGACUGCAGGGCCGGUCCAGAGUAAUUGGAGGCCUAUGCGAAUUUCAAAAAUGUGACCUUGUUUACUUUGCCUUCGAUAUUUUAGGUAAAAGCCUCUCCAACUACGCCUUGAUUCUUUUGUACCACCAGUUAUUAUAUUGUUCCUUGCCUUUACCCUCGUAACUCAUAAGUGAUAGGAGCCUCAUUACUCCGGAAAUUAUGAGGUCUCAUAUAGAUUAGGAAUUACAUAUAUACAAGGACAUGUAAAUAAGCGUAAACCGAUAUCAUGUCAUAAAUAUAAACAUAUUCAAACGAAGCAUGAAAAGAAAAUAACAAGCAACCCUAGAAUAAGGUUCAUAAAGUAACAAUGCAGUAAAUUUCAUAUCAAAUCACUAGUGUUUAGCAUAAUAAUGUAACAACAAGAACGAGAAGAUGAAUAAGAUUAUUUAUGAUGUUCUCUGUGAGGAUAUAUUCAAAUUAUUCAAUUGUUAACUAGAGUUUGGGUACUAUAUUCCCUCCUAAUUCUAUAUAUAUUUAUCGGGAUUAAUAAUAUGAAUGGUUAGGGGUUUUUCCGUACAUUAUCCUAAAAAAAACUAGAAGAUGGAACAUAAUGGUAAAAAGCAAACAAAGAAGUGUAACAAUAAAAACGGGAAUAUGGAAUAGCAAUGAAAAUUGGUGGAAGGAAAGGAGAAAAUGCAGAAAAAUAAAAAAAGACAAGAGUGGAAAAGUAAAAAUAAAUAACUGAAAAAAAAGAGGAAAGCAAAAAAAAUAAAAUAAUAAAUAAAGUUAAAAACCAAAGGAAAAUAGAAAAUUACGGAAAGCAAGACUCGAACUUGUAGAGAGAGAAUACAACAAGUAAGACUUAAGCUACUGAACUGGAGAUUUAGAUGAAAUCAAAGGACUUUCUGAAUAUUUAUACUUUCUAUGUGGCAUAUAAAUGUUUUAGGCCAUCGAGAUUCAGAGGCCUUAUGCGGCUGCACAACCCACACGGCCCAAAGGACGUCAAUGUCGGUGCAUCAAGAUCAUGGAACUUACACGAGAGUUUAUACACAAUUCGACUUGUAGAGCCUCUAAUGAGGGAUGGAAAGAUGGCAAUAGCAAUCCUGAUAUUUUUGUGUAUUGUAAGUGCUCGAUCAUCAAUCAAGUCUGCUUGAUGCCACUGCAGUAUCACUAUUUUAAUGAACCUUGCAAAUAUCAAUAUACAGUACACCGAAUAUCCCCAUGUAAAAAUAGAACCUCAAAUACUUAUCAAUUGGGAAAACAACAAAUUGGGAAAACUGUAACAUUUGAAGGAGCGUGAAAAUUUACACACCCUAAAUUACAAUCAACACUCACCCACUUUUAAUUGAUGUAAUAUCAAAAGUGCCUUUGUCUUUUAAAUAAUAGUGGUGUACGGUGUACUACUAUUAGAAGAUGUAUGGGCAUUUUUGACAUUACAACAAUUAAAAGUGGGUUAGGGUGUGUGUAUUGUAUGUGAAAACUUCACUUUCCAAUUUGAAUUGGAGAUGAAAGGAUACAACAAAUUAUGAGGACAAAAAAAGAGUUACCAUUUUUGGAUAAUAGGAAAGAUGGUUACUCUAAUGAGGAACAUCAUUCCUCAGAGCUCUUAGCCAUAACAUUGAUAACAAGACCGUAGUAAGUAAAGUAACAUCAGAAUUUGAAUCUCUUUAGGUCUCGUUUGGUUCGCGAAAGAAAAAUAGUUCAUUUGUCUUUUCCACAAGACGGGAAAGAGAAGGGAAAUAAAAAAUUUCGAUAACUUUUCGUUCUGAUGUUUGGUAACAUAAGAAAAAUCAUCAGGAAAGUUGUGACUUAAAAUAAUAAAAUAAUAUAUUGUGGGUAAUAAAUGCAAGGAAAUGAGAUGGGAAAGUGGUUCCUAUAGAUUUUGGAAUGAACAACUUUCUCUCACAUUUUCCCAACCUUCAGGAAAAUAUUUCUUUUCCUUUUCUUUUCAGCAUUCUCAAACACAGGAAAUGAAUAUAUAUUUUUUUUGAUGGUUACUUUUUAUGAACCAAACGAGGUCUCAGUGUGUACAACUACAAACAGAAUGUUCGGUGUGACUGGCCCAAACAAAAAUAUAGAUGUCCAAGCCCAAACCCGGAUCAUCAUUCGCAGUUUUAAAACCCCCAAUACACAGACCUAGAAUUCAUUUCAACACUCUCUUCAGUCGCUUCAGUCUCUCCAUCUGGGUAAGUUUUGCUUUUCAUUUGUCUCAGAUUCUGCAGUAAUUUUGUUUCAUUAUUGAAUGAAUAUACCUUCAAAUUUAAUCUCCAUCUCCAUAUUACAAUGGAACACACAAUGAAACCUGAGUUACCUGCACUAGUUUGUCUCUGUUCAAUUUUGGUAGUGAAUCAAAAGUUGAAACCUUUUUGCCCAAAGUCUCAGUCUUUUCUCUGGGUUUCUGUUUUAGUUAGGUUGAGCCGUUGAGAUUGAGAUGUUGAAGGAGGAGCAGCUUGAUCUGGAUCUUCCUGAAGAAGUGGUAGUCAACAUCCUCUGCCGGUUGCCGGUCAAGUCCUUGAUACGCUUCACUUGUGUCUCAAAACGGUGGCGUUCUCUUAUAAUUUCCGACCACCUAUUUGGCAACUCCCAUUUUCAGCUGGCAUCUCACCUCCGUCGAAAUGUCCUCCUCGCCACCAACCCUACCUUGGUUGAAGAAGGUACACCUGGUACACCUUCUAUGGAACCGUUACCCACUCGAUUUCAAUCUCUAGCAGAUAGGUUCCCAAUCAGGGAACUCACCUGCCCAUCCGAGCUCAAGAGCAACAUUGUAGUAUUGGGCUCCUGCAAUGGCUUGGUAGUUUCAGGCAAGUUCCAAUAUUCCAUUGUACCUCAAGGCCGAUUAUACUGUGAUUUUCUUAUAAGUUUGGUAAUCUGGAACCCGUCUAGUGGAUUCUUUCGAAAAAUACCUAGUCCAAGUUUUCUGAUUGGGAUGGAAAAAUUGGCAUAUGAAAAACAGAUUAGGUUUGUGAAUCGUGUAUAUUAUGGUUUUGGUCAAGUGUCGACCUCCGAUGACUACAAACUUGUGGUGAUACCCAAAAUUGGUGAUUUAAUGGAAGUGCAUGUGUUCUCAGUCAAAGCUAACUCUUGGAAAGUUGUUAAAACUCCUUGUGGCCAUACCCCCUCUGGUCUAAAGAACGGGGGACACAUUCGAAUGGAGCAAUUCAUUGGGUCAGUCAACACGAACCAGUGAUUUUUGAGCCACCUGUCAAUGUUUUUUAUGCUUUUGAUCUGGCAAGUGAGGAGUUUCGGGAAAUCCCGUUGCCAGUUCUUGUCCAUAAUGAAUAUAGUCUGAGACUGAGAAUGACGCUAGUAAGAACUCCUGUUCUUUUAGGAGGAUGUCUCUGUGUGAUGUUUAGGGAUUAUGAUGAGUAUCAUGAAAUUUGGGUGAUGAAAGAGUAUGGGGUGCAUGAAUCUUGGGUUAAACUCUUCAGGUUUAGAGCACAUGAUUCAACAUAUCACUGGAAUCCUAUUUUCAUUGCAGAAGAUGGUACAGUUGUGAUCAGCGUGCCUCGGGCGAUGGAGGUGGUCAGGAUUAAAUGCCGUAAGGAUGAGGAGCCAGUCUGCACGGACCGUUACAGUCUUGAGAAGGUACCCGGGUGGAAGUAUUUACUUGAUGCCAUUUUGUAUGAUGAAACUCUAGUUUCGGUGCCUGAAUGAUUUUGGUGAUUCAUGUGGCUUGAGACCCAACUAACAAGAAAGAACAGAAAUGAAGUGGGAUUUCUACGUGCAUUAUCUUGCUUGCUGGUUUAUGUAAUUUGGAUUCUCCACCGUUUGUGUUUAUGGAGUAUGUUUCUCUGUUUUAGUCCAUUGAGCUAUGCCUUUUGAUGUGUGUAAUUGAAGGGCUAGAAACUAUGAAGUAUGAACUAUUACUGCUAUUGUUGCUGCAUGAAGGAACUUGUUUUAUGAGGAAUUCUUGCUUAUCACCCCAUAUGAGAUAUGCAGCAUAAGGGAUUAUUAUUAUUUUUUUCUGAACAAUGGGCAUUGUUUUUUGAUGUUGUUGCGGCCAAGUUAUAGAUAUGAUUGCACUAAUGAACACUAAACCUUUUCUCGAAUUUUAUUUCCCGAGUAAGUUGAUACAAUAAUAUAUCAGACCAAAAAAAAGUUGAUACAAUAAUCAGUUUGGAUGGCAAGGAGUUGAUCAGGAGUCAAUUUUAUCACCAUCAAUUUUUGCUCUGAAAUGCUGUCCUAGCUGUUUUUGGGUGAUCCAUUGUCAAUGCACGAGUAAAACUCAAGUUGAAGUUCCUCAGUUGAAGUUCCUCUGGUUUUGACUGAAUGGUGACAACUCAAUCUCAUCGAUCAUCAUGGACAUAGCUCGUUAUGAUCUCUAUCACAGUCCAUGCCAGGUUUUGUAGGACAUGAUGUUUGGUAUUAUUACAUGCAUUAUCGAAUAGAAAAGAAUCAACAAACUAUAGGGUGGAGAGUCCUUGAUGUGUAUCAUGUCAAAGGAUUAAACCAAGUUAAAUAAUUACCGUCCUUGAUAGUUUUCAUAAUACCACUACCUCCAAGCACCCCAACCAAACGAUUAUCCUGCAACGACCAACAAUGUUGCUUUUCGAGUUGGGCGCCAAGCUUUUCUGGAAAGCACAAGUACCUACAAUAUGUUUUAAUCAGUAUAACAGUAGUCAUCAUCCAUCUCAUUUUAUGUUUUAAUCAGUAUAACAGUAGUCAUGGAAGUCAUCCAUCUCAUUGUUAAGCACAAUUCCAGUGGAAGGAGAGAGUACUCCACCUCCAAAAGCAUAGUUUUUGAUGGUUGUCAUUCAUCGAUACCGCAUUUCUGCCUGCAUCUACUAGGCAGAAAUGACUAGUUCCGUGAAAAAUUUGAGCUGACUCAACCUGUUAAGUUAUGAGCUAAAUAGCUUAAGAGUAUUGACUUAGAGAUCGAGAAUUUUGGUCGAGAAAGGAAGCUCUAAUUUAGAAUACAAAAUGUCAGGUGGUCAUGCCUCAAUGGCUCUAUCAUAAAUCUGGUGGGGAAGUAUCUUCUGCUGAAUUUACUUAGCAAAGGAUGGGGAAUAACAUAUCAGAUGCAUACUCAUUGGUAUCUACAACAGCAGGAACAACCCACGUUCAUUUGGGUUGCAAACAUGUGUUUCAGAAUGCUCUAUUCCAUUUGGUGGCCGUUUAUUGCGUCUCGUUAGCCACGACCAAAUUGUUGUCUAUGAAAGUAUGGAUACCAAAGUAAUAGAAAGCCGAUGUUUCCUAUAUGACCCUCAUUUAUAAACGGAAGCAAAUAAUGGGUGGUUCUGUUUCCAAAGACUGCUUAGCAAUUAUAAGCACAAGAUGCGGAUGUACCUGCCGGCUGCUGCGAAACCAAUAUCGUAGAUAUCAGAAACACUAACAUGUGAAAGUCAUUUUGUCAAUAUCAGAAACAUCACUGAAAAUAGUAAAGCUUCAUUUUCGACCAUCAUGAACAUCGGUAACUUCAUACACAGAUGAUUUGCAGUUUGCCCCUGUGGUUCUUAGAGUACAUAAUUAUAUAAGUCAAACAACCAGGAAUAUUUACAUUAAAGACUAAUACACAGAAUUCUCCAGUGAAGAACAAACGCUAAAAGGAAAAUGUAAUAAAAGAUACUUUCCUACUACGUUCUACAAGCAAAAGAGGAAUAUAUAAGUUGGUAUAGAUACGAUUUCCUCUAAGGUUCCAGCUUCAAGGAAACAACGCGUGAUUGUCUGUUUUGCUCUGCCACCUUCACAAAUACUACUGAGAGACAAGACGGAGCCCACCAUGGCGUUCGAACUUUUUGCUCUCCUUUCAGGCAAGCGACUGGAUACAAAAUUUAUGUUAGCAGACGCAGAUGGUAUCUAAAUGCAAUUCAUAUUCCAGAGGAGAAAGACAUGUAUGCAGCUCUGGGAACAUAAUUUCAUAAAGGUUUAAACAAAACAGAUGAUAAUGAUAUUAAUCAAAGAGUACGUUAAUGCUUCUAUAGCAUUGUAACUCUUUUAUAAUGUUCGUGUAUGCCAUCAAUAGACCGUAUAAAUGCAUAAGACUAAUGAAGCAUGUAUGCCAUCUUGCAUCACCAGUGAAAGUCACUCGCCACAGAGAAGAUGCACAUCAUGGAUGUGCAUAACAUCAACAAUAUGUAUUAGUGAGCUCCACUUCAUGAGAGUACUACUUCAACAUUUUCAUAGGGUAAAGUAGUGAUUCAUCACAUGUUAUGCUAGGAGAUAAGAAUGAAUCAGAAGUAUUCUUAUUUUCUACAAUAUUACUUCUUCUUUUAUCCCCCUUUGAAUACCACAUCCACAUGGAAAAGAUUGCUCCAGAAAUUUAUAUUAAACAGGUUACCCAAUAGUGCCAAUGAUGGACGCACAGAAUGACAUUUCCAAAGUGUCUUCUGCUGACAAUCAUACAAACACAUAACAAGAAAAAGCAAAUGCAGACCUUUAAUUCGCCUUAGUUCCUUGCACAGCGUGAUAAAGUCCCCCCAUUUCAUGUGGCACUUUCUUAUAAAACGAAGAAUCUGCUCAGUUGUGAACAUUGACAUGCCUUCCAGGUACUCUCCAUUGACACCAUUUUCUUUGAAUAUUUGCCGGUAACUGCCCAGAUUUAUAUCUUCCAACCACAGACCAACAUCCUGUUCACAAGGGAAAGAAAAGUAUGAGAACACAUAUCACUGAAUACUUUUACAUUUUAUUGACAGACAAAUUAGAUAGUUAUUUGCCGCUCCAUAGGGUGCAAGUUAAACUCAAACUUUCAAGUGACCAUUGUUCCCCCGGGAAAUAUUUGGAUGAUCUCUUUUGGACAGACUAAUAGCUAUCUGACAGAAGACAAACAUCUUCUCAACCCCUUUUUUUUCUUGAUAAACAAAAAACCUCCCUUUUCCAAUUUAACAAACCUUAUGCUCAUAUAUUUUACAGGUGUAGUAUUAGCUGGCAUAGUGGGAUCUUUCAGAUGUAUAGAGUCUAGCUAACCUUAAGAGUAAUUCAAAUUGUUGUUUUCAGUUAGUCACAUCAGAUGUGUAAACAGGACCGGCCCUGAGUUUUUGAGGGCUCUAGGUGAAAAACAAAAAUGGGGCUCCCCAACCAAAUAUAUUUACAAUUUUUUUCUAUUUAAUAGUAAUUCAAAAAAUAUAAACAGCAAAUAAAUACUAGUAACAUAACAAUAUAACAAUCUCAAUAUUAAAAAAUAAAAUAAAUUCCAGUGAUGGUGGCCUGUUUCAAACUUGCUUGGACCACCACUACACGAACGCUUGACCUUUUGCUUUCCCGCUAUAAUAGAAUGACUUCUGUUCACUAGUUGUUAUUCUAAAUAGGGAAAAUUUUAAGAAUAGUACAUGAUGAAUGGUCCAAUCCUAAUUUUGGUGUUUCAAGUUUCAAAACAAUCAUUAAGGUACAUGAACUUCUAAUCUCAACCAAAAAUAUGUACAUGCCGUUAUGUCUUCCGUUAUCUUGUGUGCUUUCCGUUAAAAUUUGAGUGACAAAUCCGUCACUCUCUAAUUUAGCAGUAAUAAAUUAUUAAAAUUAAUAAUUACUAAGGAGAGAGAAAUCAAAAAUAUCCAAUUCUCAUUGCUGAACAAGUAAUAAAUUUUUUUGAGGAGCAGCAAAGUCAUUAUUGAGCACAGAAGAUCCAAUUCUCAUUGCUGAACUAGUAACAAAAUAGCAAUUUCUGAAAGACCAAAAUUAAACAGAAAAUGGAAUAGAGUUAUCUACUUGCAGACAACAAAGUCAUUAAGAUUAUGGUCUGAGUUAACAAAAUUAAAAAAAAUAUAUAAAUAGAAAAAGAGUAAAACAAAUAUAAAGAAAAGAGAAAAUGGAGAAAACCCGAAAUCACCUUUUGAAAAUUAAGAAAUUACAUAAAGUUAACAGCGUUACUGACGUCAUGUACUAAAAAUGUGUCGUGAUUCUAAUGUCAUGUACCUUUAUCAUUGUUUUGAAACUUUAAACACCAAAAUUAGGAGUGGACCAUGUACUUUUCUUAAAAUUUUCCCUUCUAAAUAAUAAUAUAGAAUCAUCUACAUAAAUUUCAGAAAAAUAGAAAAAUUGGAUUUUUUUUUCGGAGGUCCGUAAGGUUUUGGGGCUCUAGGCAUAGGCUUCUGGGCCUAUAUCCAGGGCCGGCCUGUGUGUAACUGAUAUCACCCAACAUUAUAUGACAUAGUAAAAUACCAAAGAAAACAAACUUAGCAGUGUUUCAUCACAAUGAUCAUUUCUAACACCCUUUCAUCAACAAGACAUAUCUAGACUCAAAAUGUUUCCUAAUUUCACUCUCAGACCAAUAGUGAUGUGUUUCUGUCAUGAUUUCUACUGCAAUAUAAUUAUUGGUAACUUCUAUUUUAACUAACUAGGUGGAGUUAUCUUUAGCACAAGUUAAAUGACCAACUCUGAUCAUAGAUCUUAUUCUUAUGUAGGAUAACAAAUCCUUGAAACAGCAAAUAAUAUGACCAUAAAAUUCAACUCCACCAGGAGGCCCUCAAUUGAGGACCUUCAGUUGGCAAUUUGCAGUCGAGGAUAUUCAGUGUUUGGAUCAUAAAACAUGCCGUUUGAACAUAGAAGGUAAGUGCUUUGUUUUCCUUAAUGAAAUAACAGAAAGUGCAGGGUAGCACAAUAUUAGUUCUUGGUAAACAGACACCAUGAGGAGACUACUGAACAAGUGAAUGGUGAAAAUAUAACAAUGAAUAGCAUCACCUCACAAGCAACAGAGGGUUCUUAAUAGCACAUUUAAUUCCAUAAGAACUAAGAGUAAGAAUAGUAAAUGUUUGACAUCCCAAAGAGAAGACCGAGUUUAAUCUAACACACUAGCUGAAAGGAAUGAAUUGAUAAGUGGGGAAAUUCCCAAUUUCCUCCCAUGAAAUUGAUGAACAUGGCAGGCUCAAAAGCUUAGUGGGCAAUUAUGCAAUCACCCAACUAACCAAAACCUUUCCAUCUUAAAAACUAUGUUAGCAGAUUAAAAGGAACAAACCCAUCAACAAGAAAACAAAAGAGGAGGAGUCAAACUAAGAAGUACCCAGAACAAGAUCUACUUUAGUAAAUAAGAAAUGAUGAAAAACGAUUGAAGCUUUGGUUACCUCAACAGUCCAAAUAAAGAAAUCAAGAGGCUCCGGUGGCAGCUCUCGGCUAGUCUCCCUUACCAUUACGUCCUUCCAACUAUUCAGACACCAAAAGCAGAUGAUACCCAGAACUUAAUAACCUCUAAAAAUUAAAAAGAGACUUUUUAUGUGAGAGACAGGAGAGUGUGCUGGAACUCGUGGACUCAUCUGCUUUCCUGCCCACUAUUUGUUUAAUGUAACCGGACUGAUGGGUCAUCACUUCUUUUGUUAUUUUUAAGAUAUCACAUCCUUGCAAAAUUCUUAAAAAAAAAAAAACACAGUAAGCUAAAUUUUUAUAUUUCAUCUGACCGUUUAUUUAAACUUUUUUGUUAAAGUCUUUAUUAAAAGCUCUUUAUUUUUUCAAACAAAUAGCCGAUACGGUUAUCCUCAAGUUUUUAUAUUAAUAAUGUUGUUUUCUAACUUGAUUUUUUUUCUCAAAACAAUAGUCUUUCACAUUACUUUGAGAUCCAACUAUCAAUGUGACAUGUAAUUUGUUCUUUUUGACUUUAACUCUUAAAAGUGUAACAAUUAACAAGCCAACAACCAUAGAAAAUAUGUACAUGAGCAGAUGAGCUUUUCCAUCCACAAUUAUUACCUUGGAUUACAAUUUUAGUGAAAUUUGCACUCUCCAUUUUACAGACUAUACUUCUUAUUUCUUUUUUUUAGUGACUUAAAUCUUGUCUCUAGCAACAAGUGUUUUGUAUUUUUGUGAAAACUUUAACUAAAAAAGAAAAAUGAGAGUGUAGAUUGUAAAACCGAAAGUACAAAUUUCACUCGUAUUUUACAAUUAUAUAAUGAUCUCUAUCUUUCUUUAUAUCGAUAAUAACAUUUUAACAUAUGAACUGCUUCAACUAUGUACCGCACUUCAACAACUUUCGACAAAAUGAAAUGCUUCAAUUAUGUCUCACUUCGACAACAUUAAUAAGUAGUUAAGAGUUCCCAAGUCCGAACCACAACUCGAUCACUUAGCCAAUUGCGGUGGUUGAACUCUCGAACUUGAUAGAUCAGUGGCAAAGGUUAGUUGUUACCGGAGAAACCGGUUCUUAUUGCAGUCAAAGGUAGAAAAGGAAUGUUCACUUUGCAGGGUGGCGGAAAGACGUUUAAACCCCUCCUAACAAAUCAAAAAGUGAACUCCAAGAGUGAAACUUCGAACUCAUCAAAAACACAAAGACUGAAACUUCUGCGUAGAAAUCAAAAGGAAGAGAGAAGAAGAAACAACAAGGGUAGGAUGCGCACGGGCGGCUUCACGGUGUGGUUCUGGGCGCUGACGUCAGCAGUUGCUGUAUUUGGGGCGGUAGUUUCGUCGUCGACGACUUGGGUGGCUGACGGGAGGGUGCUGGAGCUGGACGACUCCAAUUUCGAAUCGGCGAUUUCAGCGCUGGACUUGGUCUUGGUCGACUUCCACGCCCCAUGGUGCGGCCACUGCAAGCGUCUCGCUCCUCAGGUCUCUCUUUGCUCUUUUUGCUCUCUUUCGAAAAUAUUUGAUCAAAUGGAUCUAUUGGAUUAUUGUUAUUGUAAUGAGAAAUUGAGAAAUUGUUUAAUUUUGAUGUUUUAUUUGUUGUUGGAUUUAGUUGGAUGCGGCGGCGCCGAUGCUUGCCUCAUUGAAGAACCCAAUAGUGAUAGCUAAGGUGAAUGCUGACAAGUAUAGGUCUCUAGGUGACAAAUACGGAGUCGAGUAUGUUCUGAAACCCAAAACCCAAAACCCAAAUCGAAAUCAAAAUGCCUUUAAUCUAAAACUACUACUAGUACAUUGCAGAUUUUGACUUUUUUUGGUUGAUGUAGUGGAUUUCCGACACUGAAGCUGUUCAUACAUGGUGUGCCCCAAGAGUACAAAGGCCCCAGGAAAGCCGAUUUGCUUGUUCGUUAUUUGAAGAAAUUUGCUGCUCCGGAUGUUACUGUGCUUGAUUCGGACUCGGCUAUUGCUGAUUUUGUUGAGGCAGCAGGCACAUUCUUCCCUGUAUAUAUUGGCUUUGGGUUGGAUGAGUCCAUGAUAUCUAAGUUAGCAUUGAAGUACAAAAAGAAGGCCUGGUUUUCAGUUGCAAAGGAUUUCUCUGAGGAUGCAAUGCUGUUGUAUGAUUUUGACAAGGCUCCUGCUUUGCUAUCCCUCCAUCCAAGUUACAAUGAGCGGCACGUUUUUUAUGGACCCUUUGAAGGUUGGUUUGUUAUUUUUUGUUUGUAAGUGUUAAUUUAUUGCUAGAAACGUAUAGAUAUUAAUCCCUUGAGGCUAACCCAAUAGAAAAUGGUACAGAGUUUAAUACUUAAGUCCCUUCCAAUGCAACCAAUACAGAAUAUCAUAUUACGUUUGCAGUAAAAAAUUUCAAGUGUGUAACAAGAUUACACCUUAUUGUUUGUGGGUUCAGAUAAAUUGGGGUUAUUUGUUAUGUGAUUGCUAUAGUUCACUUGUACUGAGUUCCAGUCUAUCAAUUCAUACUUGUUAUUCAUAUAUGAAUGACCUUCCUGGUCAAUUUUCUACUAGGAGAAACUUAAACAAAACUUUAGAAGUUUUUCACUUUUAAUUUUCAAACAAACUGACUUAAGUUUCUUUUGUCAUGAAUGCGCAAGCUGUUUAUAUCUGAAUUGUAAGAGUAUCAUUGUUUUCUGCAUUGUUGACUGUGCAUCCAUCUGUAGCAACCCACAGUUUAUUUGGUUUGACUUGUUGAGGCUGUUGACUGUUUCUGGCACCGGGAAAAACUGGAGCCAAGUGCUAGUAUAUAAACCAGUCAUGAAUUAAAGCUCAAACAUACUCGUAAAUAUUUUUCCAAGCUCUCUCUCAGAUUCAUUAUAGUGUGUGAAUGUCUUUAAAUUUCUAACAGUUUAGUGUGAACUCCAAAUCCCUUCUGGGUUCCAGAUAGUAUUUUUUAUUCCAACAGUUUUAGAAUCCCUUUUUACUUUCAAGUGCCGUGGCUUCAGCUUUUUGUUUUGAAUAUGCAGAGGAAUUUUUGGAGGAUUUCAUAAAACAAAGUUUGUUACCUUUGGCCAUUCCCAUCAACUAUGACACGUUAAAAUCAUUGGAGGAUGAUGAAAGGAAAAUUGUGUUGACAAUUGUUGAGGAUGAGGAUGAAGAGAAGUCAAAGAACUUGAUUAAGAUUUUGAAAUCUGCGGCAUCUGCUAAUCGAGACCUUGUAUUUGGUUAUGUCGGGAUCAAACAAUGGGAAGAUUUUGCAGAUACAUUUGGAGCGAACAAGAAGACAAAAUUACCAAAAAUGGUUGUUUGGGAUCGAACGGAGGAGUACGUCACAGUAAGUAGUUAUUAAUUAGAAACACCUAUAUUGUUCUUAUAUUUAAAUGCUCAGUUCAUAUCUGAAAGAUUAUACACUUGGUACUUAUCUUGUGAAUAUAUCAUAGCUUUGUGUGAAAGAACAUGGGUGCAGGUUAUUCAGUCCUCAAUGCAUUCUUUCCCCACAUGUAUGGAUAGAAUGUGUAGACAAUGAAAAUUAAGCAAGAAACCAGAAAGUGAACGGAAACAGGAAGAGAUCAUUAGUACUUUUCUUGAGUUCUCAAUGAAAGCUGUUUCUUUUUCAAAAACAGGAAGAAAGAAAAGGCCACAUAUAAUAGUCCAUUACAAAAAUGUGACCGGAAUCUGUAGAAAAAUCCAGAGAUAAACAACAUUAGGUGUACCUUUCAGAGCUUUUGAAUAUCUCACCAAGCUGGUUGUACUUGCUUUUUGCUUAAAACCAAAACCACCAAACACUCUUUUAUGUGCAAGGAUUGCUGAAUCCAAGUGGAUUCUCCAAUUGUAAAAGCUAUUUUUUUUUUUUUGAGUCAGUUCGAGCUAAGUUAGAGUAAGGAGAAAUAUUGUACAGAUGCACCAAACACUCUUUUCCAGUUAUUUAGGUGCAUCCUGUGAUUUCGGUUCACCACUCACAGAAGCACAUAUGCAUGGAAGAUGGCCAGACAGCAAAGGUCUUCUUCCUGGUGUCAAUCAAUUUCUCCCUUCAUUACAAUUUCCAAAGUUCUGCAGUGUUUUUUAUUUUUUAUUUUUUAUCUCUAACAUCUCCUUCCAAUCUCUGUUGGCUGCAAAGAUUGUUUUUUGAUUAAUAAGUAUUACAUUUGUGUGGUUUCAAUCAUAAACAUGAACAUGUAUUCUAAAUUUCAUACGUGUAACCAGUAUCUCCUUUCACAUUUUCAAUUUGUGUUUGGUUACAUGAUAUUUUGAAAGUGUCCUUGAGAUAAAUGAGAAUCCGCUUCAUGAAAUUCUGAUGCUCAUUGUAUAAAUUGAGCAAAAAGCUAUAGAUCCGACCAACAUGUUGUAUGUCAGGUCUUAUACAUUACAUUGCAAUGUCACAUAUGUACCGAUUGCUGCAAAGCCAUAAGUAGCCAUUUUCAUCCUUUUCUAUCUCAUUCUGCUAUGAACCAAGUAUGAUGCAUCUGGCAAUACAUAUUGGUUUCUGUGGUACUUUUUCGAUACACAUCUCAUGAAGGAUAUGUUUGUUGACGAUUUGCUUAGUUGACCUUACACCCCAUGUAUAAACUUGCUUAUCUGGGUAAUUCUCUGUAACAAUCUGAUUCUGACUAGAAACUUGACGAAGCUAUCAUUAGAUACUUGUGCCAAAAUUCUACGUACUGCUUUAGUUGAUAUAAACUCUUCUUCAACUUGCAGACUAGAUUUCUUUGCCUUGACUUUAAACUCUUCUAAUUGCUCCAUGCCAAUUUCUUUCUCUACAUCAAAAUGAGAAGGAAUUCUCAUAUGUCUUUCAUUUGAGUUGAAUCUUAAUUACUGAGCAACACUUGAACUUUAGUUGAUAUAGUGGUGAUUGUUCUAAAAGGCGCUGUUUCAUAGAUUGUGUUCUAGGUCAUGGGUGUAGUUUACUUUCAUUGUCGAGAUAUUAAUGAAACAGAUCAAAGUGAAUUGCAGGACAGUUGAAGGCUAGAGUAACGUGGAAAAAGUCAAACCAAUUUGUCAUAUUCCUGUAUUUUUUUGCUUAGAGAUUACCUUACAACUCUUAGUGAACUGGUGUUCUUGACAGUUCUGUUUUAUAGAAAUCCAUAACAUGUAGUGAUUAUAGACCAUUUUUAAUUCAAACAGGUUAAUGGCUCAGAAAGCAUUGGUGAGGAAGAUCAGGCAUCUCAAGUCUCGCAGUUUCUUGAAGGAUACAAGGAAGGAAGAACAAUUAAAGAAAGAGUUGGUGGCAGUGUGUCGGUUACUUCCUUUAUAUCUUCAUUUCUUGGGCUUGGAACUGUGUAUGUACUAGUUUUUGUGGUAGUGACAAUAAUUCUUGUUAGAAAAGCCACUGAGGAAGAACCUCUCAGGGUUGGUAGGGGAGAUGAAGUUGAUCAUGCUACAAGUUCUACCGCUGAGGCUGAAAGCAGAGAGCAUAAAGCUGGAGAAAAGGAAGAUUAGAGUUGCCCUUUGUACUGUCUACAUCUGAUCUACCAGUGAGUGUGCCUAAAUGGCUAAAUCAGUAUGAAUUGAGACGUCCAUGAUUUGGUAGAGAAUGACAUUUUCCUUUGCACUCUGAUUUGUGCAUUUCAUAGGCACAAUUUUUCUUUGUUUGUUAUUAUCGUCAUGCACAAGAAAGUUAGGCUAUUGAUAUUCUCUAAUCGUUUCGUUGUAAUUCUUAUGUAUCAUGUUUAAAGUUAAUAUUUCACUCUUCGAUUCUGUCUGUAUAAUGGUUGGAAUAUAUGCCCCAUUUCACAGUUGUAAGUUGUAACGACAUCCAACACUUCUCAACAAGUCUUUACCAAUAAAACGCGCACCAGAGACACUGGCCUUUAUGGGGUUGCCGGACGGCUGGAACGGCAUCAACCAAAUGGAGGUAGCGACUUCUGACGGCAUCAACCAAGGGAGGCAGCGACUUCUGGUCAUGACAUGAAGUUCUCAAAUAUGAAAAACAUGACCAAGAGAUUUUGAAUUUGAGCUGAAUUCCAGUUACUAUUAACCUAAAUUGACCUAUAUGCUUGGUUGUUUUUUGUUGUUGUUUUCUCUAUGGAAAGUGAUUCAAGAGCUAGCGAUUUGAAAAUCGAAGUAUUAAUCUUGGAGAUCGACACUUCCAUAUCAAUUUAGAGGGUUUGGAUUUGUUUCCACAAUUUAAAAUCUUGAGCCAACAGUUUCGUGGUACGUACCCGAGUUGUGUGGAUUUGCUUAUUCCCGUGUUUGGUGUUACUGCAAUUGAUCGGCCGAAAGGAACUUGGUUCAAGUAGAGAACAGUACGAAAAAUAUAUAAUAGCUAUGACUAAUCACAUACAGAUAUGCUCAUCUACUAGUUCAAACUUUGUCACAAGUUUUAGAACCAAUCCAAUAUCCGUUCAAAAACAGUAUAUAUAUAUAACAAUGAAAUCAAAACGAAAUUGAAAAAUAACAAUGAAAACAAACAACACUAACUUGAUUAAUCAGAUAGAGGCCUGUCUUGCAGUGACCUAAGACAAAAAGUCGUCCCCACUUGUGCUGCAGUUUCGGACGUCUAUCUAGAGGAUACAACUAUUUGGUUCAAGUUCUUGCACAAGAACUUGACCUUGGCGAAUUUACUUUAUGCUUCAGAAGAAAUAGUUUUGAGGAGGAAGAAGAAGAAUGAUUCGAUGAUCAAAACAACGACAGAAGUCGUCUUUAUAUAAAAGUCAAUUUGAACAGGUAUAACUGUUCGGACAGACACAACUGUUUGGACAGUUAUGUCUUUUGAUAUUUAUCCAAAUUUAAUAAUUAAAUUAAAUAAUAUUAAUUUCCAAAAAAUUAAAUUCGGAUUUAAUCAACAGUGAAGACUCACACAUUUAAUUUAAUUUCCAAAAAAUUAAAUUUAAUCCGAAUUUCCAAUAAUUAAAUUCGGAUUUGUUUAUAUGGGUGUUUCCAUAUAAAUACUCACACAUUUAAUUCUUCUUCAAUGUGGGAUAAAUACCACACAAGUUCCAACAACAAGUCCGCGAAAAUUAUUGUCAUAAACUUCAAAACAGAUAAUCAACAAAUCAAAAGAUGUGAGACCCUUAUUUUCAACCUAAACAAGCAGAGCUAGCUCACAAAAAAAAAAGGGGAGAAAUACAAAACACUACCCGACAACAUUUUAAAUAACAAAAUAGUCCACAACAAAUUUACUUAUACAGUUUAGUCCUACUUCUCCUUUUUUUUUUUUUUUUUAUUAACUGUACUUUACCAAAUAAGUCUUAAGAAUUACUGUCCUAAGAACUAGCCUUCAACAUGCCAUCUUUUCACCUAAUAGACACCUUGUCUUUCUGGUUACUUAUCUUAGCGGAAUCACUGCUGCCUUAGUCUAGUAAAACUUCUUAGUACUUACUAGUAAAGAGAAAGGAAAAAAACAAACAUAAAAACAUAGGAGUAAAAGUACUCAAGCAAACUUAGAUACUGAUAUUUGUGUGACGGAUAAUAGGGCACAAGGUAGAAUUCAUUUAUUCAAACAUGAAUACAAAUAUAAAACCCAGAGCCUCGCUCUCAGGUAAACAGCUAAAGGCUGUUUAGCUACUCAUAAUUACAAGAUAGAUACUUACUUGUAUAUAUAGUACUUCACACUAGAUGAUUACAGCACUCCACACAAUAAACACUCUUAUUAAUCUCACACUAUACUAGACAACUGUAUUCUGGCUAUCUUACGUCUUGAGAAAGGUUGAGAGAACUUCUAUCUCAAGUUUCUGAUUCUUUUUUUCUUUCGAUGCCUUCCUUCAGAAGAUUGAGGCUCCUUAUAUAGGAGGCGGAACUCAAACCGGAAUUAAAUCACACAUAUACAUAGUGGGAGACAGGAGGAAUCCUAUCCUAAUAACUUUAUUUUUGAAAAAGUAAAGUCGAAGACUUUAAUGUGCUGGUAACCACUUUCUUUUUAUCAAAAGCAAAGUAGUUUGUCUUGACGCGUCGGCAGCCGCUCAACUUUCCAGCAUAUUCACAAUGUUGUGAUAUGUUUCUGGAUCUUCAGAAUAUCUUGCUGAGGAGUUGGGACCAUUACUUUCCCAAUCAUAUGCAGUGCCUUCAUUUCCAUCGUCGAGGUCUGAAUCAUAAGGAUAAGAAAUCUUAUACUUUUCUUCAGUCUCAACCUUUUCCAACCACUUUGUGGUAGCUAGCGUGCAAUCCACUUCAUUUCUCAUAAGAGCUGUGAAAAAGUCACAAUUCUCAAGAGGAGGAUGAUUAUAGCAUGUGACAAUUAUUUUUUCUCCACUUGCUAGGAGGCUUGAAUCAUAGUCUCUCAGAACUAGGUUUUUGAUAAUUGCUAUGGUCAUAGCUUUCAUCCAAGGAAUGCUUUGAUUUGGUCUUCCAUUGCCACUAGUAAUAGCUGGCUUUUGAACUGGACUUUGGAUUAUCCUGACAUGAUGAUAUGGAGAGAUAUAAUUCAUCUGUCCAUUUACCACGGUCCAUUCUGGUGGUGUAGAAAUGAAUUUUAUCCUUAGGAUACAUCCAUCAGGUCUGAUAUUUUUGACAGCUUCGGCUAUAAUUUCUGGAAAACCUUUAAGAUCUUCAUUGGUUUUUGUCCACAAAUUACGAACAAAGCCAUUUUCUAUAAGCCACAGCUUGUGCUUCUGAGGAUGCUCUGCUUGAACAUCAACCAGAUAUCUCCCAUAAUAUGGGCCAGGGGUUAUUGAUAAUGUUCCUAGAAGAACAUCUCUUCCUUUACCUAAGAGGUUAUGGAAAUUAUACCAUUCAGAUUCUUUUAAAGCUAGCAUAGGAAUUUUAGCGCUUUCAGGACUCUCGAGGUAUACAACUUUGGAUGGUUCUGUUAGAACUCCUUUGUCCUUUGUAUGGACUCCAUACAUUUCUUCUGUUAAAGCCUUGAGGGUUUGAAGUAAAUGAGCUUCAUUUUCCUCAUAAAAAGAAUACAGAAUAUUAUCAAUAAUAAUCUUCUGUUUAAAGGCCAAUAGCCUAUCUGUUCUGAAAACAGGCUUCUGAAAAAUCUUCAGAGGUUGAUUAUGGACGACUUUCUUUCCUGUGACUAAUGGAAGUUUAUCUGCCCUGAGAGGGCCUUUCCUGCUUUUUGGCAAAGCAGCAGCCAUCAACGGACUUGAUAUGCCUUUACCGUCUGCCGUUUGAGACGGGCUAGUCAGUCUUUUCCCCUGAGACUGAUCAGUUAAGGCUGAUCCUUUCGGACACAGCAAGAACUCAUUUACGAGUUCAUCUUCAUUAGUACCGUCUGAAUGACUGGAGCGACCAUCUUCUUCAAAGUCUGGUUUGGGCUUGAUUCUCAGAGAUUGACUAGCUUCAGCAGUUCCAUAAGAGACCAUAUAUUGAUAACCAGGUCCGUCAUGAAGAGGUCUUACAGUUUUAUCACCGCCUUUGAAUCUUUCCCAAAGCUUCUUUUCCUCUGAUUCUGGUUUUCGGCUUCUGGGAUUGUGACCUUCCCUAUCGAACAUCGCCAUCUCUCUUGUAAGCGCGUUAGGCAAAAAGUUCUUGUUUCCUGCAACCAUUUCAACAUCAUAUUCAUAUUGAGUUAGAAACAUUUGCCAUCUCAACACUCUUCCUCUAUCUGCAGCAUCAGUCAAUUUGUAGUUUUUGAAGUUUUUUACUCUUUUGUUGUCAGUUCUAACUACAAAUUUGUUUCCUAGGUAUGCCUCAGCGCCCUUGAUACUCUUAAUUAAGGCAAAGACUUCCUUGUCUCCGGUGGAAUAAUUUAACUCGGCAACGUUAAACUUUCCAGAAAGAAAUUUACAAAUUUUUUCAUGAUUUGUAUCUGGAGCAACAGCUAAAACAACUCCUGCCCAGUAAUAAUCAUUUGCAUCAGUCUGCAAAAUGAUCAGAUCUCCUUCUUCUGGUAAUAGUAAAGGAGGAAGAUUUUUUGUUAAUUCUUUAAUCUUUCUGACAGUAUUACUGUCAUCAGCUGUGAAAGACCAUUUUUUCUUGGAACUUGUUUUUGGAGAGAGGAGAGCAGUUAGACUACUAACUUGGGGAAUAAAAUCUCUCGCAAAAUUAACAACUCCCAAAAAUCUCUGUAGAGACUUUGCAUCUGGGAUAUUGUCUGGAAAUUGGCUAAUCUUCUUAACGAUAUGAUCUUGGAGACGAAUUUCUCCAUCUUUAACAUGAAUGCCAAGGAAAUCAAUUUCACCUUUAACAAGAUGAAUCUUUUUUUGUCCAAGGAUGAUUCCCUUUUGGACAAUAAGCUUACACACUUGCUCAAGAUGCUUUAAUUGUUCAUCCUUAGUUUUUGAGAAGACAAGAAUGUCAUCUAUGUAAACUAUGCAAAAGUCUGCAAAAGGCUUGAAGAUAUUAUCCAUUUUCCUCUGGAAAAUAGACGGAGCUUGCUUUAAUCCGAAUGGCAUAACUAACCAUUCGUAAUGCCCUUGAGGAGUUCCAAAAGCCGUCAAAGCAAUGGAAUCAGGAUGCAUUUUGACUUGCCAAAAGCCUGAUUUUGCGUCAAACUUAGAGAAAAUCUUUGCGCCUCUAAGUCUGUUGAAGAGAACUCUUACCUGAGCAAUUUGAUAACCGUCUUUAACGGUCUUUUUAUUUACAUCUCUGUAAUCAAUCACCAUCCUAGCUUUUCCUCUUAGUUGUUCAGCAUGAUUUCUUACCAAAAAGGCCGGGGCAUGAUGAGGGCUAUUUGAAGGCCUAAUUAACUUCUUUUCAAGAAGCUCUUGGAUCUGACUUUCUAUUUCCUUCCUAUCUUCUUCUCGGUAGUGAGGAAUGGCUUUGACAUGGCAAAUAAUAUUUGCAUCAUGCAUUUUGAGCUGACAAUAUACUGGGUCUCUUUCCCAGUACAACUGAGGAUUUUCACUGAUUACUGGUUUCAGCAAGUUUUCUAUUUCUGUGAGAGUUGGUAUUUUCUUUUAUUCUGCUUUCCUAGCAUAUACCUUUAAAUUAUGUUCUCUGAUGAAUUCUUCUUUUCCAUCAGAACUCUCAUUGUCAGAAAUUUGAUAUUCAGAAUUUGUCUCUGAUUCAGAGUCUUCUGAACUUGUUGAUUCAUUUAUCAGUAUCUCACUGUGUCCCUUAAGUUUUUCUUGCAAAACUUGUAAAACUGGUUUCAGAAUUGGCUUAUAAUCACCACUCUUCGCAAGCGUUUUCUGGUAAGGAUUGGUGAAGCCUUUGGUUGUAACGCGUACUGCGUCGGUCAAUCGGGAUUCCCAAUGAAAUCUGUUAUUUUUCUCAAACCCAAUCAUUUCUGAGGUUUGGAUUACUGUUUGUUGAAGAAGGAAGUCAUUUCCUAAUAACAAAUCAGCAGUCUGGCCUUCGCAUUGCCAGAGGUUUUUGAUGAUAAAAGUUCCUCCUCCCAAAGAAACUUUUACAUUUCGGGCUAAGGUAUCCAUAAUGAUUUUGGUUUCUUCCAUGGCAACUCCAGUAACUGUUUUUGGAGAUUUUUCCCAAAAUUCUUCAGGGAUUGCAUAUCUUUUGGCAAGAGAGUACCCUGAACCAGUAUCUACAAAUGCGUGUAGAUGAUAUUUCCUAUAUGUGGGAAACUUCAGUCCUAUAUAUAGUAACAUAAUUACUAUAGAUGCUUGUCUGGACUGGCAUUACUUGUUCUUGCUUUUCUGCAACAAGUAAAUCUGUGAAAGGAUUAACUUGUCUUUCAACAGUUAUGGAAUCAAGAGGAUUAAUACCAAUUAUCGGAUUGGCAUUUGUCUCAGCAAUCUUGGGAUCAAGAGACUCAAGAGACUCUUUUAUCUCUUUGUUUUGACUUAAUGAAGUUACAAACUUCAUCGUUUUCAUAUCCUCUUUAAUAUUCCUUUCAUGCUCUUUUUUACGGAAUACAUUAUAUUCCUCUUCUACCAGAGUAUGAGCAUCUCUAUCUUUAGUUUUUCUUCUGAGUUCUGCGAUAAAGCAUUCUUGAUGAUAAGUUUCUCCUGUACUUUCGCAGUACAUGGGGAUAGUACUAUCAUCAUCGCAUUUGCAAUAAUCGCAAACAAAUCUUCCAGGAUUAGGAUGAAAGGUGCUGAUAAUAUCAGUAUUUUCUUCCUUCCAAUUCUGUAUUUGUAAUACAAAUAUAGGACGAUGUCCUAAUUCUUUUUCAUCUUCUUCAGAACUUUCUGACGUACUUUCUGUUUCACUAUCUGAUGGGUACUCAAGAGAAUAUACUGAUUCAUUCUCUUCAUCAGAAUAAAUAAUUUCAAAGCCUUUUAGAUUAGCAUACUCUAUGGCUUCCUCAUAUUCGGCCAGUAAGACUUUUGAAGUUCUUUUAUCCUUUUUUGGACAUUCAUUUGCAUAAUGUCCCUCUGCUUUGCAGAACCAACAUCUGCAUUUCUUUGUUUCUCUGGAACGAGAAUCUGGUUUCUUUUCCUUCUAAAAAAUUUCUUUUUUGGAGAAGUUUGAGAAGAUUGUCUUUUCUGAUAUCCAGAACUCUUUCUAAACUUAUACUUCUUUUUAGAAGCGAAAUUGCUUUUUUGCUUGCUACCAGAGAAUUUUCUUCUGUAUUUCUUUUCCAUAACAUGACAUCCCCAUUGUGUCGGGGUAUCCAAAAUCUUUGGACACAUGUUUUCAACUCCUCUGAGUUGUUUCGUGGCAGUCUUGGAUUUUCUAUUCUCCGUACAUUGUUUUCUUAGGAGAUCCCUAACUCUUUCUGCUAUUCAAUCCAACAGUAAAAUACUGAAGGGGGUUUUCUUCCAAUGAUUGUGCUACUGCAUCGUUCCAGGGUUCUGGUAAUUUUCUGUAAUAUGUUCUGAUGAGAUCAUUAUUUUCAAUGUCUCCAAUGGUGCAGUAGUAGGUUUGAAACUCAUUGGUAUAUUCUUCGAAAUACCUCAUGUUACAAAUACUCAAUUUUUGAAUAUUUGCUUUAGCUCUUUCUUUAGAUUGUUCACUGUGUCCAGUGAUAUCUAAGCAAAAUUGUGCGUAGAUAGGGACUGCAAAAUCUAAAGGACUAUUAGUCUGAGCCACUUUUGCUGCCCAAUCAGUCCAUUGAGAGCUUCUUUUGAAGGACUGGUACCAUUUCUGGACUAUUCCAGUUAAGGUAGACUCAUAGUAGGCAUGAGCUUCCUCGUAGGCAUAUUUGGAUAGCACUAGGGCCUGAGUUAGCUUUAAACUAGCCACCCAGUUGUCUAUUGUUUUUCUUUUAUCUCCUACCUGGUCCAAAUCCAGAUAAACUCCUCUUUCAGACACUGAUUGUCCCCAUUUGGGUUCUGUAGGGAUAUAUUUAUGAGAACUUCGUUCUCCAUAUCUUCCUGUAGGAGCUUGUCCUUUUGGGAGCUUGAUAUUCUUUUCUCGAAUAAUCUUUGUAGGAUUGUUGGUGAUGUUCUGUAUUACAGUAUGACCACCUCCUGGGGGUGUCUGUCUUUCACCAUCUGUAUCCCAUUGAUGCUCCUGAUGGUUCUGGUUCAUCUUUUGCCGCUUGAUAAGGAAGAAUCUUCCUCUUUUUCUUUCCAAGUUGAACUUGAGAAAUUUCUUUGAUAAUAUUCUCUAGUUCUUCUGGAGAAUCACAAUUCUCAGCUUGUACAUAUAACUCUUUUAAUUCCAUCACUUGGAACAUUCUCAUAGGUCUUUUAGUAUCCUCUUCCUCCAGAGAUUCUUCAUUAUAAACCAUUUUAGUUCCCGAGGUACUAGCUUCUUCAUAAUUUGCAAAAGAGUGCCUAUGAAAUUGUAAACUGAUUUUUCCUCCCAUGUCUUCAUAGACUGAAGCAUUGGAACUUUCAAGCUGUCUGACCGGAGGGGUCAGAUUCCAUUCUUUUGGGAAUGUUACUUCAUGNNNNNNNNNNNNNNNNNNNNCGUCUUGUAAGACACAUAGAACAGAGCAGUCAAUACCAUCUCUGGCUAAGAGCUUUAUUCCUACUUGAACUGCACCAAUAUGCAUAUAGGUAANAUUUUUUUCUGAAAUGCUUCACUUACUUCUUUUGGAGUUAUAAGCCUGAUAUCUGUUUCUCCUCCUGUGGCAGGAACAGUUAAUUCAAGAAUCUUGAAUCUGUGUGAAUCUAUAAGGAAAGAUCCUUUCUUAUAGAUCUCAUUAAAUCUAAAUCUAGGAGCAAAUGCUUCUCGCACACUAGACUCGAUCUCAUUAUACUCAAAUUCUUGAGCAUUUAUCAGCUGAACUGGAGCUGUGUUUCUUUUGCUGAGAAUUCUACUUAGCAUCUUCAUAUCUCUUUUGGUAGAAGGUUUAGGAGAUUUCCAUUCAAGUAACUUUGGUUCACUAUUAAACCUUAGUCUACUUUCUCCCGUUGAUAGAGGUGGAGAAUUUAUGAUGAUUUUACUAGCUACACUUUGGGCUAGCGAUUCUUCAUUAAUUCUUUCAUAAUUUUCUCCUUCCUUCAUUUUCUCUAAAGUCUUUUGUAGACUAGAGAUUCUAUUAUGUAACUCUCGAAAUUGAUUUUCGAGGUCAAUACCUAUCUCAUGAAGAUAAGCAAUAUUAUAAUUCUGCUGAAGGAUUAUUGCUUCUACAUUCUCGGCAAGUUUUUCUGUGGGUUGAUGAAAGCCAAUAGCUUUAACACCUUCUUGUUUUACUUUUAGAUCUACUCUCUGAUUCAUCCUAUUCUGGCAAUGAGAGUUUCUAAAAGUGAUCUCAAGUUUUCUUGAGUUUUCUUUAGUUCUACUGCUUGUUGAUGAAUGUACUGUUUGCAAGAUUUUCAGUACGAACUAAUUUCUUUUCAAUAUCUGUUAGAUAUUGUUUUUCCUUGAGGUAAUCUAGCUUGAUUUCAAGCUUGCUAAUUUUUGAGUUUAUUUCCUCAAGUUGAUUAAUCCGUAGAUUAAAUCUCUCGAGUUGUUCUAUAACCUUUUCAGAGGUCUUAUUCUUAGAUAAAUGAUCUAAGAACUCGAUUAAGCUUGGUCUUGAGGGAUCAAGCUCUUCUACUCCGAUCUCUUGUUGGAGAUGAAUAUGCUCGUCGUAUAGAGUAUUUAGUACUCUACAAAUAUAUUCAACGGAGUAUUGAUUUAAUUGUAUGUGCCUUGAAUGAAAGCACACUUUNNNNNNNNNNNNNNNNNNNNUUCUUGAAGGACUUCAAUUUCCUCUCUUGACUCGUAUAUCCUUUGUUGCAACUGGAAAAUAAUAUCCCUGUAAUUUUUGGUAUUUCUUGGAAGCUUAUCUCUUCUUUCUCUUAAUUUUCUUAAAUUUCUUCUUUCUUCUUGCAACUCUUUAUAUGAAAGCUUAGCUUCUGAUAAUAAAUCAAGUCUAGUAGCAAUAGAUUCUCCUAUUGAUAAUGAAAAAUUAACUGUCUACCUUUGAGUUUAGAGGAUAGAUCUAAAUACUUGUAUUAUGUUUAAACAAAUUCAUAGGCCCACCAUGCUCCGUCAAAAUUACUUACUGUAGUAGGAACUUAAUAGUAAAAAGGCACAAAAGACAAAAAGGACUAAAAUGCUAAAUUUUGUCCUUAAACGUUAAAGAACCAAAUUAAAGGACCUUUUUGUAAGAUGAAAUUAUAUUAGGUAUUAAAUUGUAGUUUCCCUAAAAAAAAAAAGAAAAAAAAAAAAGAAAAGGAAAAUCUGAAGCUCGUUAAUUAGCUGAUAACAACACCGAAGAGCUUAACUGUUUGAUUGUCACCAUUAACUUGUGGGAUUUCAUCAAUAACUUCUGCAGUUUGUGUACUUAUGUCAUCUUUCUCCUCUCCAAGUUUCUUGGCAUGCAAGAAGGUAAGGGCGGGGGAAACAGAUUGGCUAGCAUUUUCAACAAUAUUGACAUUAUCAGAAUCUUCAGCCCGGUCGAUUUUGAUCAUGUAGAAUGACUUGGGGUCCUUAUUAUCUCCUUCCUCAAUAUGGCACUCAUAGAAUCUGAUAGUGUCAUUGGCUUUCAAUUUGCUGUUCUUUACAAAUCGAUUCCAGCCUCGGGUGAACACAAAGCUUUGGCUGCUCUUCCAAUAACAGUACCUAAACUUCCAUGGCCCCCUCAUGUUUUCAUCAUAAAAUGAGAGCUGUACAUCAGGCGCAGGGUUGUUUUCAUCCAACCCUCCCUGCAUGGAUUCAUCAAUACGAGGGAAAAAUUUAGUUGCGUAAUUUUUCGGUAUGACUAGUCUGUUCAGCUUACCAACAUCACUUGGCGUCAAUUCUUUUUGGAAGAGUUGUUUGGGAAAGAUAUCUCUCAUGCUUUGUUGCACCCUAGCUGAGUUCGACCCGGACAUUACUUCUGCUGCCUGGCAAGCCACGAGAAAUUCAACAAACCUAGCCUGGUAUGACCCGUCCUUAAUCAUGUUGAGCACGGCUUCUUGGCUAUAGAGAUUCUGAAAGUGUCGUUCUUGAAUAAUUGUAUUUGUCCACGCAAAGUUCCUUUGGCACUCUCCGUUAUGAAGCUUGAUUGCAGCACUAUCAUAAGCCAUGGCUGCCUUAAUAUCGGAAUCAAAUGUUCCAAGCCAAACCCUAUUGUGAUUGGCAUAGAUCUGAGCUCCCCAACGGCCAUUUGGCUGCUGCACAACUCCUUUAUAAUUGGUAUUCGCAGACAGCUGAUUGCUGCUCCCAUGACUCAAGCGCUUACGCUCUUGAACCAAGAAACCUGCAGUGAUGCUUGAAACAGAAGCUUCUGCUUGAUAUGUCCUCCUCUUCGAUGACCUUGUUGUUGCACUUGUUCCUGCGUUUGAGACCGUGCUUGAUAAAUCCUCUUGCAUUUCUAAAGCCAUUCUACAUGAGAAAUCAUGAGUACGUAUUAAAUAUAUUGUCCAUAAAUAAGCUCAAUCAAGGCAUUCAAUUACAAUCUCUGUCUUCUAUUCCACACAUAUAGUUACUUUCGAUUGAUAUAUAUGAUAUUUGUUUGUAUUCUUUGACAAGUAAACCAUGUAUUGCAAAUGUCUAGAAAAACCUCUUUUGCUAUUCCGAGAGGCAGUGACUCAUGCUAUUUGAUAACUAAACAUCAAACGUUCUUUCAAAUGUACUUAAACUUUGAUUUUCUAUACUUGGAGUCCAUCAAGCAAAACUACUUUAGCAAUUGAAAUAUUUAUUACAUCAAAUAUGUAAUACAUAACUAUAAACAUGCAAGUGUAUCAGAUAGGAAUUCGAUCCAUCUUUAAUCUAAGCUUGUAAUGCAUAAAUUCAUAUUAUAGAUUUGACAAUUAAAUCAACUAUGCCACGCCUCUACCUCAAGUUAAAUAGGGACACAUUGAUAGAUUGAAAAAACAAAAUUCUAGAGAUUGAAUAUAUCUAUAUAAUGAAACAACAUGCAGUGAGUUGAAGUUCCGUCAAAACAAGCCCAGAUAUAUAAGCGAUUUAGUUAUCUGUGAACUUUUCAGAUCUACAAAAUCAAGUACUUCAUCAUCAACUAGUACGCCACUCAACAAGCCAAGAACACAUAUUCAAACAGCAAUUACAAAUGGAAUAAACUAAUUUAGAGCGACCUAAAAGAGAUUUAGAUUGUUGAAACGGUUACCUUGCAACUCUGAGAGAGGUUGGGAAAUCAAAAUCCGAAAUAAAGACCAGCAAUAAUAGAGAAAAUAUAUUACGUACUAUAGAGCAACAUAUAUAGAUGGGGAUUGUUACCUUACCAAUAAUCUGAUCGAUCUGAUGCAGAUAAAAACUGAUAUGCUGCUCCCAAACCAAAAACCAAACAAAUAACAAGUAAUAUAUUUUGUAUCUAGCUAUGAAAAAUAGCCAAAUACUCUCCUUGAAGCAAAAUCUGGAAAGUAAUUCAUUGACAGACCUGUAUAAGGUAAUAUUUGUACCGAUGCAAAUCUCAAUAUCGAUAUCAGCCAAGUAAAAGCAAGAACGAGUUGUUUCCAUAUCAAGGCAAGCUGUGAUUCCUCGAUAAGUUAGGGUUUAUGUUUCCUCUGAUGAUGAUCAGCGUUCAAGGGUUUCUUACAGUAAAAUGCACUUUGUACGUAGUCGUGAUUGGCGGAAAAUAAGGGUUAUGUCAAUGGGAAUCAAAUCUGAAAAAAUAAUCAUCAUAAAUAUUUGAAAGAACUUUCCAGUUUUAAUUUUCCAUGGAUUUCUACAAAUAAGCAUCAUGCCUAACCACGUACGUGAACACUGCUAUAUAAACAGCCAUAUUAAAUCCUAAGUCAUUAGACCCUGGAAAGUAUGCAAGCAUUGGAAGAAGAAGAAUGAAUUGAAGGAAGAAGAAGAAGAAGAAGGAGUCGAUCCAUAUUCCAUAAUAGCCUUCAAGUUAAUUAAGGGUUAAUUUGCCGUUGAUUGAUAGGCUAGAUCUUAUCAGUUAAAAGUUCGAAGAGCAAAUCAACCUCUGAGGAAAUCCCAGUAUCCAUGCCACUUUGAAGUUUGAACUGGUAGUCCGUAAACUGAAAUCGAAGGGUAAAGACCACAUCAUAUAUAUCAGACAUGCUAAUCAUACUGCUUAAACUGAUAAAGGAUUGUUAAAAAAGUCCAUUGAUAUAAAAAACCUGGGGAUAUAUCUAUAUAUAUAUAUAUAUAUAUAGNNNNNNNNNNNNNNNNNNNNCCUUUUACAAAUCGUCAACACGAUAAGGAGUUCAAACUACAACAGUUCAAUUCAAGAUCAAGUGCUCACCACCCUUGGAUCAAAUCAACGGCGAAGAUCGAAUAAGAGGACAUUCUUGAUAAAAGAAUACCCACAGAGAUUAUAAUCCACAAAUUCAAUCAAUACAAAUAAAUUAUUUUGUACACGUGUUUUUCUGUUAUUCGUUACAGGAAUUUUUCGUGUUUACAAGUUGAUAGUCGAAAACCUAAACUAGCUGGUACACAUGAUCGAGCUCCUCCGUUUGCUGUAUGGUAACUGAAGGUGAUCGAUUUUUCAUUUUUUAUGCUGAAGAAGCUUCAGAUUUUGAUUAACAUGAUGCUUAGAUAUGUGGAAUACUCCGCAUUAUUAGAUACCAGCACAUUUUUAAAUCUUCAACCAAAUGUCAGACAGUAUGAUAAUAUCUAGUUGGACUGAAUCACCAGAGGUUCAACAAUUUUGUGGACUAGCUACUUGGCUUCGGGGAAAUAUAAUCUUUGCAUCAGUUUCUUUUUGUCACAGUCACACCCAACCCACCUGCUUGUUUCUACAAGCCGAAGUACCAUUAUCAGAAUAGUAAUUAUUAAUUAAUCUUCCGCUUGUGUUUUAAAUAGAUCUUUAUCAACGAAAAAUUCUUCUACACAUUAAGUACAAGGAACCUAACAACUUAUAUGCAAUAUUUUAAUUCGGUUAUCCAUGUCGUAUUAUCAUGCAUAUAUACUAAUACUGUUAAAAAAAUUGAAACCUAAAAAAAUAGUUCUAAGUGUUUUCAACACAUGAGUUAAAAAACCGAGGUAAAAAAAUGUAAUUUUAUUAUAGACGUUUAAUUUCAUCGGAUCAAAAAUAAAAAUGAAAGAAAUGAAUUUAGAGUCUCUAGUCUUAAAUUUCCUCGAUCGGUUCCUCUAUAUUGUUUAUCUUUCCCCAAACAAAUAUUCACAUUCAAAUAUAUCUACUUCCCAAGUUUAUGCUAGACUUGGAUUGGUUUCAUCAAAUGGCCGGACUCAUGUUAGUCAUGUAGUAGAAUGAGAGAAAUUCCAACACUCCAUUUUACCACUGGCAAUUAAUUGUUGAAAAUGCAAGAGUGAAAAGUAUAUAUGACAUAAUGAAGUGUGCCAAAAUCAUCACUCAAAUUCUAUGAAGCCGUAUUUUUGGACUACCUAAACUCCUAAAGGAUGAUUUAAUUUGUAAUGGUGGACGGAAUUUGCUGUGGAAUAACAAGAUAGCAAGAGGAUCUAAAUUCCGCCUUAUAUAGAGUUCAAUCUGGCAUUAUACAUGCUAAAAUGGUAUAUAUGCGAGUAAUGAAAUAACUUCCAUCCAAAUUCCCACCCACAUAAAAUGGCUAUGAUAUGUGCUGAAGCAAGCAAUGAACAAACUUACAAAACUACCUACCAAAAGAUAGCAAGCUGGGAGAACUAAUUGGUCUCAGAAAUGAACAAACUUGAGCAAUGCAUUGGCCUCAGAAAGGUAGAGUAUUUUAUAGCCCAAGCUCACCUAUCCUUGGAGCAAUGUAUACACCAUUAACCAGCAAGAGCUGCAAUAUUCUCAAUGUAAAAGAAGAAUCAAGAGAUAGAUUAUUUCUACAGGAUGAACAAAUAAACCCCAAUUGUAUACAGUAAAAGAGUAGUUGAUCCAUAUAUGCAACACAGAUAAUCACCCCAAGUAAACCUCCUCAAAGAAAUGAAACUCAUUAUCCCAAUACAUGAUGAUUGUAACCAUUCCCUCCCAAAAAAUUAAGCCCGACUCUCCAAGUCUCCAGCAUCACUAAAAUGUAACCCAAAAAGAACCCUCACAACUCCCAUUCUAGAAUUGACCCCUCCAAUGUGGACACAUGCUCCCAAAGUCAACAGCUCAAACUAGGACAGUGACAAACACUGACUAGCCCUGAUCACACUCAACCUCAAAUCCCACUUCAAAUCCUGAGACCACCAAAGCCAGUCACACCCACUAGUCCCCAUUCUAAACCCCUAAACCUGAAAAACGACGUGUCGGAUUUCUCCACAUGAACAUUGUCGGUGAAGACAAAAAAAAAAAAAGGAGGUAAAGCUCUCAUGAAAAAGCCACCCAACCUCCUUCUUCUAAAUAAAUAAAUGCCGCCAAAACACCCCAUUUAAUUUUCUGCGUUUCGUUUUGUUUUGUGUGCGUUUCACUCCCUCUCUCGUCAAUUCUGGGCAUUUAAUGCCCAGAAUUCCUUUAAUGACCGCACCACCCCCCUCUUUAACUCCCCNNNNN